Molecule: long non-coding RNA, 86668 nt
Filed under: Malus domestica (apple)
Lineage: Eukaryota; Viridiplantae; Streptophyta; Magnoliopsida; Rosales; Rosaceae
Description: long non-coding RNA (MDOM_LNC002491)
Source: RNAcentral
UUUUUUUUUUUUAUUGUAAAAAAAUCCACUCCACAUUAUCAAAUUGGGCAUUUAUCUGUAAAUAGCAGCAAAAAUAAGAACAACAUUAAAAUAUAUGAGGGCCCAACCGGGUUCGAACCGGUGACCUCUUGAUCUGCAGUCAAAUGCUCUACCACUGAGCUAUGGACCCAAUUGUUUCUUAAUUCCAGUGUUAACAUUAAUAACCUUUGGUAUAAUAUUUCUCUUUAUUUGUAAGUAAGAGAUUUAGGUUCGAUUUUCGCCAAAUAUGAAUUUAAACCACAUUAUUAUAGCUAACGGGUGUGAGACUUAGUCCACUUCUCCAUCCUUUAGUGUAGAUAAUAUUGUUUGUUAAAAGAAUAAUAUUGUUUGUUAAAAGAAAAAAAAAACAUUAAUAACCCUUUAUAACUACUUAGUACUACAGUCCAAUGAUAUUCCUGUUCAUUUAUAAGUGAGAGGUCUUAGGUUCGAUUCUCACCAAAUGCGAAUUUGAACUACAUUGGUAGCCCAUUGCGAGGCAAAACUCAUCUCAUCUCCUUUAGCGUAGAUAAUAUCCUUUGUUAAAAAUUACAACAACAAAAAAAACCCUUUAUAAACAAGGCUGCUAAAUCAUAUAAAUUUGUUUAGACAAAUAGACUUAUAUGUCUAAAUUCCAGUUAGUCAUUGUCAAAUUUUAGUUUUUUCACUGGUUGUGCUAAUUAAAUUCUUAUGUGCAUUUAGAAGCUGCUCACACUGGAUGAUAAUAUUGUAUGAAAUGGUAUUUUGAGCUUUCCCAGAAACCCGCAGAUAUCAGAAAAAUUCAAACAUUCAAAACAGCCAAAAUUAAAAAAUAAAAAAUAAAAAUAAAAAUAAAUAAAAAAAAGGAAACCAAUUCAUCAUAUAAUUGGGUUUCUCUACACCAAUUCAUGAUCAACCUCUCUGCGUCUCUCACCCUCCCAUAAGCCCAAGGACCGCACGACCAAAACCGACCCCGCCACGAUCAAGGCGGCAAACACCGUCGGCACGAAGAAAUCCAAGCUAGACCGCUGAAUCAUGUGAGCCGGGAAGCACAUUGACUCUCUCGGAUAAUCCAAGGGUAACCUAACAAACCCCUCUCCGGUGCAAGACUUGGCUAAGGGUGAGAAGGGUGAUAUCGCCGUGAGGAACGCAAUCUCAGGAGAGAAAGACGCCAAGGCCACUGUGACUGACAAAAGAAGCGUCCAGGUGGUCAUGUAGAGAAACACCGGCCACCUGGACGCAGCAGCUUGGAGGAUGGGGUGGAAGAACGAGAGAGACAUUUCACAGAGUUGUGGAAGAAGGUGGCUUUAGGGUGUUAGGUUGUAGACAACACUUAAGGGAGCAAUAGAAGGGGGUGGAAGCACGUUGUAUGUUGAACCAUUUGUCCAAGUUUUUGGUGUUAUGACGAAAUUGUCCUCAUCUGUUGGUUCAGUUGCAUGUUCUCGUCCGUAGAGGGGGUCACGAUUUUCUUCUGUGAUUGUAUGGGGGCGGAUAGGAACACCACGUCAAUUUACCCCAACGUGAUCUAGGUACUGGGAAAUGUUUGGCUUUGGCGCUAACUAAACUUCAUAAGAAUACUGCGGCAAUCAUUACGAACCCGUUUAGAACUUGCCAAGCAUACUGCGGCAAUAAUGUUAAUGACUUCAGAAGAAUGCCGCGCGUUGAAGCCUUAGCGGUUAUUAACUACGAGUUGUACAGCUGCGGGUUACCCAAACUCACCAUUCUUAGCUCCUUCACAAUGUUCAUGAUCUCUCCCUUAUCUCCAGACCACUCUAUUCUCCCAGUUGGAACAAAUCUGCAGAUGCCUGCCAACACCAAACUUUCUACCAAGUUCGAAUCAGAGAAGAGUUUGUACAAACCUUAUUGAUUCCACCAAGCAUUUGAGUGUCAAAUUCCAAAUCAAGAGAACAGAACCCAUCAUUGAAGUAUCUGAACUUAGAUCUUGUAACGCGGGGGACUGGAGCUCUCGUGUUUCUUUGGUCAGACCAAACUGCACCAUCUGUUUUAACAAGGCCCUUCCUGAUAAAGGCUCCAAGUCAAAUGAUCUGAAGAUAAUUUCCUGCACCUGUUUUACAUUAGCAAUGGGCAACAAAGUUAGGAUAUAUCAAGUAAAUGGGAAAAUGGUUAUAGCAGCAAACAUAAACAGCAAUGAGCAGAUAAAUGUAGGGGUGCAAUUGCGAUUUUCUUUAAGGCGAAUGAGUAAAAGAGAUAAACUGGAAAAUUAACGAAAAUAAGGUUUUGCCGGGAUGAAAUAUGUUACCACAUUGCUCAGCUACUGUAUGAAAUGUGGGAAAUAGAGUUAAAGAGCAGUCAAUAGCAGCCAAGUUCUCUUCCUGUAAUUGCCCUGACGGUCAUUGACACAGUUAUUUCAAGAAAGCUUCCCAAUACUGAGGAAGCGACCACUUAUGCCUUGCCACUGGAGCAGUCUUUUACUUUCAGGCAUCAACCAAAGGGCAAAUGAGGAGCAACAAACCAGAAACCAAACUAGUAUCAGAGCUAGAAUAAAACUAGUAACAUUGCUUAUAUACGUCACAACUUCGACUCUAAAUUACACAGCAUAUGGUAAAAUAGUAUACUCACCAAUGAUGCUUCUCAAAACUAGUAGCAGAGCUAAUCUCCAAUAGUAUCCGGUUCAUGUCACAUCGGAAAAUAAACACCACAAGAUGAUGCAGCAUAUAGAGGCCAGGCCAGGGCCAAACCCAACACUUUAUUAUGUCUACAGACAAGGAUAAAACAACUUUUGCAGCAUACAUGGUACAAACAACACCUCAGGCAUACAUCCAAAUUCAUGAUUUGGACACAACACAACACACCUAACCACAUGCAACCUACAAAAUUUAGAUGGAUGCAUAUUCCUACCUCACAACAAUGCUGAUGAGUGCAAACUCUUCACAUUCGGCAGAGAUUCACCCAAUUAUGUGUAUUAUGGAAAGAGCUUCUGAAUUAAAGCACGGUUCACAGGAAGGCUGGAUACCAACAUAUCCUGCUAAUCCACGUUUUGCAAAAGCACUUACCAAUCCGAUAACGUACUUCUUCACCUAUAUGAAAAGUGAUGAACAAAAAUGAACUCGUUUAACAGAACAGAUAAAAGCAAGGAAAAUGUUAAACCCAAUUCGAAGCUCUGCAUACACCAGUGUCUCAACCAACCAUUUCAUACUUCAUUCAUAUGGAUCUCGAAGCUCUGCAUCAUAUCAUAUAUCUAACAAGACCCACAAUUGACAUAAUUGAAAGAUCCAACCCUAACAUACAAGAUAGAACAAAAUGGUUUGAAGGAAUCCUAGAACAAAAAAAGGGACACAUAUUGCAACAUAAUUUUGGGAAAAUUUGAGCAUUUUUUCCCCCAACUUAAUCAAAUCAUUAAUAAUUGAAAUACCAACUUAAAUCAGAAAUUGAAGAAAAUAAUCAAAUGGGUAAACACUAACAGAGGAAAUGGAUCAAUUAGGUAAAUCGUACUUUCAUUUAGAAUUUAAACCGCAAUAGCACAAUAUCAGUACUUAAUACUUACAUAAUCAAAAGCAUUAAAACCCAUAAACCCCUAACCCUAACCCUAAUUCCUUCACAACCAAUCUCAAACCCAAAUCCACAGAAUUAAACACAUUAACCCUAACUCUUCAAGAGCUAGUAAACUUAGUCACCGCCUUAGUCCCCUCAGACACCGCAUGCUUAGCAAGCUCACCAGGCAGCACCAAUCUCACAGCAGUCUGGAUCUCCCGGGAAGUAAUCGUCGGCUUCUUGUUGUACCUCGCGAGCCUGGAUGACUCCUGGGCGAGCUUCUCGAAGAUGUCGUUGAUGAAGCUGUUCAUGAUUCCCAUGGCCUUGCUGGAGAUCCCGAUGUCAGGGUGGACCUGCUUCAGCACCUUGAAGAUGUAGAUCUUGUAGGUCUCCACGCUCUUCUUCGAUCUCUUCUUCUUCUUGUCUCCGGCGGCGGCUCCGGCCUCCUUCGGGAGCUUCUUCCCGGCCUUGGGCUUCUUCUCGGCGGGGGCUUUCUCCGCCACGGCGGACUUCUUUUCCUCCGCGGGCUUCUUCUCGGCGGGCUUCUUCUCAGCUUUGGGCGCCAUAUCUUCUUGGCUUUUCUUUCUCGGAAAGCGAACGGAAACUUUGAGAAGACGAAAAUUGGGCGGACUUGGAAUUUGUGGGAUAAAAGGUGAUGCGGGCAAGGUCUGGUAUUUAUAUACGUCGUUGAUAAGGGGCAGACGCAGAUCGAUGACGUGGCGAAAAGUGCCCGUUGGAUGCGGUGGAGUGUACUGGGAGAUCGACGGCUCGAAUUGAAGCGUAAAGGAGCGGUUUGCUAGUUGAUUAGGCUGUAUACGUGGUGCGUUAUGAUUGGUAAUCAUUAAAUGGUGCGGAUCGAUGACCUCGCCUGUAUGGGCGAUCGCAAUGCUUAUUUAUAUUUGGAUAAUGUUAAUGACACGAAAUUUUUAAACUAAUGAUUUGUAAAAAAUAAAAUUUACAAUCAAAUAAUAUUUCACUAAAAAAAAAUAAAAACGUUAAUUGAUAUUUAAGUUGAUAACCUAAUCAUCAACAAUUACUGCAUUUAAUUUAUAAAAUUUGGAUUAAAAUUUUGAUCUCUCUAGUAUUAUCUUUUUUAUUUUAUCUUUCUUGACAACAGAAUUUUCAUUUUGAAAGUUAGAGCAUUUCCAAUGGUAUAGGUUAUGAGUGACGUGGUAUGUUGCUUACUUGUCUCAUUAAAAAUGAUUUAUCAGUUCAAUAGAUAAUCAAAAAUUGUACUUUCAUUACUUUCUUUUGUUUGCAUACGUAACUCAUCAAAACGAGUUUACUUAUUCCAUUGUCUAUAUCAUUCGAGAUACUCUUACAAGGAUGCUUGACAGCUUGUAGAACUACAUGAAUGAGUAUUUUCUAGAAGAGAAAUUUCAUAUUUUUUAUGGAAUAAAUUAUUUUUGUAUUAAUGUAAUGAUGUUUUAUAUAUGCAAGUGAGCUUUUAGUUUAGGAAUUAACAGUAUUCCCUUAAGAUUUAACCUUCCCUUCUAUUAUAAAUAAAGGCACAAUGAGGUGAUAUAACACACACCUCACAAACCACAUCUCUCUCUUCUCUCUCUGUGCCCCCGACCCUUCUCUCCCUAGCCGUAAAUACAGUUCAGUAAAUUAGGUCUAUAAUACAUUAUUAGCACGCUCUUGCCAAAAGCUAAGGAACUGAAGGAUCGUGGAUGAGGCUCUUCUACAAAAUCAAAGGCUCAAUUGUUUUAUGUCAAUCAGGUUCUUUUAAAAUAAAUUAAAAUAUUUCAAAUGACCUUGAAGCAUGAAAUAUUCCCCAUGACGCAUAAAUGCUCUAUAUUUAUAUUUUCCUUCCAAUUAUAUAUAUUGCAUAUGUUUUCAUAUAAUUUGUCAAUAUAUAUACUUGUUCAUGCAAUAUGAAAUUAUGCUAUGUGGAAUUUGUGAGUCAAAGCAUCGCAAUUAAUUUAGAAGCAAUUAUGAUUUUUAACCCCGGAAAUCGAAAAAAUAAAUUUUUUUUUUUUUAUGGAUUUCUCGCGGCUCCACGUUGCACUACUGAGCUAAGCCAACUGGUCUGCAGCCACAUCAUUACUCGGACGACGUCGUUUCGACAUCAUAGACCGCUCGUAGUAGCCCCGUGGGCUUGUUGCCAAUGCACCAACAACCAGGCCUCGGCCUGGGUUGGAUUCCUCACGGGCCUAAAGCCCUAAGUCCACCAGCAAGCUUGCAAGCCUUGUUGGGCUUUGUCCUUGCCUCGGCCCAUCAUGCCAGCAAGCUUAUGCUUGCUAGACUUUGCCCGCAUAUGAUUCGGCCCGCAUGCAGUAAGCUUUGCUUGCUGGGGUCGUCUUUUUCCCUGGCCCGCGACCAUAAAAGCCAGCCCUUGUGGAUGGGCUUGCCUAGAACCUGGCCAAAUCAAAGCAAGCCCUUGGUUGGGCCUUGCGCGCAUACCCCAGACCAGCCUACGUGCUGGGCUUAUUCCUUCGGUCCAUUUUUUUGCCUAAAACCAACAGCUUAUGCUGCUAGGCUUCAUCCUAGAAACAGCCCAUGGCCUGCAGCUAAGAUUUGGGCUCCUUUGCAGCCUUUCCCCGUGGCUCAAAUAGGCCUGCAACUCUUGCAGAGCAAAACCCCAUACACUGCAGCCAGCCACCAUGCUGGCUGUGAUUUUUUCGAACCCAAUGCUAUGUUUUUGGCAUCCCCACUUCAUAACUAUACUCCUAUAAUUUUUAAGACAUUUGGUUAACACUUAUCAAGCGAUAAUUUUAUUGUCGCUUGGCUCGAAGCCAAAAUUCAAGCUACUAUUAACCCGAAUGUUAUUAUUUUGCUCAUACGAUGGUUACAAUCUAUUAAAUUAAUUAAAAUGACCAACAGUCCAUUAAUCUGACAAGACAUCCAAAAUUAUUGGCUUGAAGCCUACUUUUUGGCAAUUAACGAUUCAAUAAAUUAUUUCUUCUUUGAACCGUUGACUAUCUUUCGUAGUCUCGAUGCACUCACACUUGGGUUCCUAAAGCAAUUCCCCAAAUUCAUUACACUUAGUUGUAUAUUGUAUUCUUUGUUCUUGCAGGUACCCCUAUACAUGAACUAGAAGUUCAUAAUUAUCAAACUUGUGGUUUCAAAUUUAGCGCAUUUGAAAUCGAAAGUUUUCAUUCAAAACUUACAGCAUGAAACUCGUAGCUUUCAUGUUUUAAAUUAAACCUAUACAUGUCUAUAAAACCCGAAUGUUCUACGAUGUAUGCCUAUGACAUUCCAUACGACUAACCAUGUUUUGUUGUACCUUAUGUUUUAGGGACAUGUUGAACUUGAAUAAGCUCGAUUUCACCGCUUUGGAAGUAUCUGGAAGAAAUUACCUAAAGUGAGUUCAAGACAUGAAGCUCCAUCUUACCGCAAAAAGUCUUCGUGUCACGCCCCGAUCCCGAGAUACGCUCGGAAUCAACAAGCGACGAUAGGACAGUAUCGGUACAAUAUAAAAUACAUAGAGUCACUAAGACUCAUACAUAUAAUAUACAUCAAAGCUCAGCGGAAAAAAAAUACUUAUAACAAAGGGAGGUAAUACUUACUCUCGAGUGCGCUGUCCACACAGCAACACCACAUGCAAUCUUCUCCUCCAACCGCUACCAGUUACUCUGCAAAAUAACCAUACGCCGUGGAAAUGGCGCACUAGGCAAAGAAAAAUCUGGAUAAGCUACGAAGCUUGUGUAAGUGACAAUAAUACAACAUAUGUGAAAAUAAAUAUCAUCAAAUGAUUAAUGAAAAGUAGUGCUACGUCCACACAUGACUUUUCUCUAAAUAUCGUGUCAAUCCAAUCACCAUCAAUAUUAUUCCGUUAUUUUCUUCGAAUUGUGACUCACCACUCACCUUUCAUCAAUUCCGAGUAAUCACAAGGGUCCAGUCUCCACAUAUAUUAUAAUUUAACCACCAUACACCUCAUUAAUACUUAUAGGAAUGGUUAUUCAAUUUUGAAUCUCACCACACAUCUAUCGUGAUAACAUUCAGUCAUCACACAACCCAAAGUUAUGUAAGAAUAACGCACCAUCAAUAAUUCAACCAUGUGUAGGAAUGAGAUUGGUAUCUUUUUCAUCAUUGCAUCUCUUCGUUAUGAGUAAGAAUGAUUCACAUCCGGAUCCGAUCUCUUUUAGGCAACACUAUCAUGUAAACUAUUUGAUUUAAUUGUCACUUUCUAGAUUGAGCUACACAUGCCUUCUUAUCUUUCAUAUAUGUAAUAAACAAUAGUCUAGGGCUAUAGAGAGACACAGUUCGGUCAAAGCCUAUAAUAGGCAACUGAUCAAGAUGUGGUUCCCCAUUACGGAUUAACCAAGCAUACCAACUGUGUAGGUAAAGACCUCCCAUUGCGGAUUAACCAAGCAAAGUCACUCAUAACGGAUUAACCAAUCAUGAUCACUCAUAACGGAUUAACCAAGCAUGAUCACUUUUAAAAUGCAUGAUCACUCAUAACGGAUUAACCAAGCAUGAUCACUUUUAAAAUGUAUGGCUAUACCUAAAUAAUAGGGAUCGCCCAUCGCGAAUUAACCAAGCAUGAUCCCAAAGUAGUAUGGUCCCCCGUUGCGGAUUAACCAAGCAUGACCAUCCAUGUACCACUGCUACAUGGUGCAGAUUCUGAUUUUAUCCCACAUCACCUUAUGUAUUGGGUUAACGGUUAUAUACUAGCCCUCACAUAUCACAAUCAUAUCAAGCAUAUCAUAAAUAUAUAUUUUCGAUAACAUCAUCAAGUAAACAUAGCAUAGUAACACACAUUUCUAUAAAAUCAUUUGUAAAUCCAUGUUAUAUCCACAUAGUAUAUAACAAGGAAUUUCAUGGGUAAUAACCAUAUCAUAUAAUAUGGAGUUCUUCACACUUCCAGAUUCACCAACACCUCAAAGGAACCUAAUACAACAUGCAAAUCUCACUUAGGAAACUUAGUAAGACUGAGACACAAACCGAGGCCAAGUGUCACUUGCACGUAAAUUGAGAGCACGUCAACAAAGAAUGACACGUCAUCGUGGUAAGCCAACUAAGCUCCAUCAAGCCUCAACAACAUUCUAAAAAUAACGACACAUUAGAACGGUCAAACUAGGUCUCACUAAGGUCAACAAACUAAGGUUAUUCAAUCCAAAGAUCCGCACAUCAGAUUUAUGAUAUGUAGGUUCUCAAAGGUCCAACAACUAGUAACUAGGAUGCUCACAAAAUUGCACGACAAUCCAAUGAUCGGAUUGUCGUCAAUCAUACAAACGAGUAGGGGUCCAAUUUGAUCACCACACCAACCAAUUGAAUUUCGAAAAGCCGAGUUAGACACAGGUUCACAAGGUCGCAAAAAGGUCUUUGGUAGUUAGCUAACACUUGUGGACAGGCCCACGCACCACCACACGCGAUGGUAGCCAAGGUGGAGGGUUUAGAAAACUUGAGUUUUCAAUCUUAACCAAAAGGGCUCAAAUUUACGAGGUAGAUAGAACUCAAGAAGGGAAACACUUUUCACAACUAAGCAAACGACAAAUUCAAGCCGUAAACCGUCCAAUUUCAUUGGGGAAAACAAGAUUUCUAGGUUUCUAAACACCCAACACUAAAACAACUACAAAAGCACGAACCAAGCAUACCAACUUGAAGAUUAUGAAGAGUAAAUGAAGUUUCAUACCUCACUUGAAGGAAAUGGUCGCCGAAAUCACCGGAAAAAUGACAAAAUCACCGAAAAACUCACGGGACUUUGUUGCCUCAAAAUGGAAAAAUGGAUAAGAAAAUGGGAAAUCUAACACUACAAAGAUGUAGGAUUCGUCAAAAGCUAUCCAUGGACACCAAGAUCACCCAAAACGAAGCUUGGACGGAAGAGAAACGAGCAGGUCAAGUUGGCAGGUCGGCGACCGGAUCACACCCAAAAUGGAUCUACAAUUGGACGCCCUAUUUUUGGAAACCUUCUGGAACUUUUUGGGAGUUGCCCCUCCAUUUAUAGCAUUUUGGCCAAAUUACCAAAAUACCCUCCAACUUCAAAUGUCUCUAACUUCUUCAUUCUAACUCAAAAUUGAGAUCCAUUUGUGCCUACACACUCAUGGAAUCAAGCUUUACCUAAACAACUUAAGAUUUGACAGAAAAGGUUGAGAUUCAAAAUGACAAAAACACCCUUCACUUCAUUUUUCUCGAAAUUGGAGAAUUAACGAACUAGCUUCAAUUAAAUCUUCGAAAAUACGUUUAAAAGAAUUAAAUACUAAUUUUGGGGACGGGAUAUCACACUUCAAGGUACUAUCGAGAAACCUACCGACGACCCAGUUGACGAAGUUCAGAAAGCUAUUACUAUGAUUUCAUCCGAAGACACAUCUAUGAUGUUGCAAGUCGAGUACCUCGCAAAGGAUGAUCCACGUACCUCGCAGUCGAUCACCAAAAAGACAUUUACUUGCCUGAAGCAAGACACAACUAGUAGCAUUUAUGUUUCCAAGACUUUAAGUUUGUGAAUGAAUACAACUAUGAAGUUUGUAGAAUCCGCUCAUUGCUUAAGUUCUAUAAAGAUGACUUAACCGAAUAGAAUCUCCUGGAGAAGACAUAUUCGACCUUGAAUGCCACCAACAUUGUCAUGUAGCAAUAAUAUAGGGCACAUAAGUUCACCAAAUUUUCAGAUUUGAUCUUUGUUUUACUUCUCGUUGAAAAGCAGAACCAUAUUUUGAUGAAGAAUCAUCAAGCUCGACUUACUGGCUCGAACGCUCAUUCUGAAGCGCAUGCGACUAAUUCUAGCAACCACAACCAAUGGAAACCCCGUCGUGGUCGUGGAAAUAGGCAGUAGGCCUAACCAAUGGAGGAAAUUUGACCCAGAAGCGCCAACCCCUUGCCCUUAAGACCCCAAACUUCAAGAACAAGGGAAAAGCUACUGUUCAAUUGCCUUCCACUGAAUUGGACAUGUGUUACCGCUGUGGAUCAAAAGAUCAUUGGUCACGCAUAUACCGAGCUACCCCCGAGGCCAUUGCUAAGUAUCAUUCUCGUCAUGAGUCUAACUUUGCAUAUGUGGUACAUCCCGACGAUACUACCACAACUAUAGAGGUUUUAGAUUUUCAAGAGGCAUUCGCUCCUGUGGAAGAAUAAACUUUUAUUUUUCUAGACAUGUUAGGGUGUUUUUCACCCCUAGGGGGUGAACCCCCUAUUUUUCUCGGUUUCUGGUUUAAUUUUUGGGACAAUUUUUCUAAGUCUUUGGAAUAAUUUGUUUGGUUUUGGUUUAUUUUGAAUUAUGGAUAAUUAUUUUUAUGGAUAUCAUUUUCUCGAUUGAUUAAUUGAAUGAAUGGGAUUAUAAUUAUCCAUGUGAUCGAUUCAAUUAAUUUAUUUCUAGGUAUGACUAGUGGAGAAGUUAGUUGCCUGGCUGAUAGUUCUACCACGCACAUUAUCUUGUGUGAGCAACACUAUUUUACUAACUUCAUACCUAAAAAUGCAUCUCUAACAACUUUCUCAGGCUCAUCCAACCUAAUAGAAGGAAACAACAAGGCCCGUAUAAUGUUGUGGUACUGAAUUAACCAUUAAAGAAGCCAUUUAUUCUCCCCAUUCCGGAAGAACAUUGCUGCAGGUAGGUAUAGGGUACGGGACAAGGCUCUACAACAUGGGGCUCCUGGUUUUGGGCUAACGAUGCAUUGGACAAGUCCAAGAAGAGCUACAUGCCUUCUUGGUUUGGGCUGGAGCUGCAGGCCUGUGAAAACCCUACUAGGCCGAGGGCUUGGGGUGUCUUGCGUGUGCAGCAAAGCCCAAAGGGCUGCUGCCUUGUGGUCCAGACAUCAAACGACGUCAUCCUGGUGGGGUGCUCCACAUGGUUGGGCUAUAGGCCAGCGAUGGUGCGGCAUGAACCGCGGCUUGUGCAGCAAAAAAAUCCCAAUUUUUAAUUUUUUUUAUUUUUCUAGGGUUUGAAGAACCCUAAUUGCUUCUAAUUUAUUUCGAUGUUUGACUCACAAAUUUCACAUAGCAAAAUAAAUAAUUGUGUAAUGCAUGAAACAUACACACACACACACACACACACACACAUAUAUAUAUAUAUAUAUAUAUAUAUUGACAAAUAUAUGAAACAUAUACAAUAUAUAUUGGAAGCUAAAUAUAAAUGUAGGGGUUCAUGCAUCAUGGGGAAUGUUUUCAUGCUUCGUGGUCAUUUCAAAUAUCUUACUUUAUUUUAAGCGCACCUGAUUGGCAAAAAACAAAUAAAAGCCUUUGAAUUUUGUAGAAAAAAGCCUCCUCCACGAUCCUUCAGUUCUUUAGCUUCUGGUAAGAGCGUGCUGAUAACGUGUUGUAGUCCUAAUUUACUGAAAUAUUCUAAGGUAAUAAAAAGGAGGAUGCCGACGACAAGAAAGAGAAGAGAGAGAUUUAAUUGUGAGGUGUGUUGUAUUUCACCCCAUUGUGCAUUUAUUUAUAAUAGUGGGGAGGUUAAUUCAUUACCCUAAUAGGAUUACAACUCUAAAUAAUAAUAUCUAACCCUAGAGAAUAUUCUUAGAUAUCCCAAAUAUACUAGGAUUUUCAUAAUCGCAUUCCUAUAUUAAAUAUGACUGAAACAAAAUGAUAUUUCCCCACAUGCUACUAUUUCUUAACUAACCUCUAAUAUAUAUCUGCAAUUAUAAACUUGGCUCUUAGAAAAAUCGAACACCGAUCUUGAAUUGAAGACAAAUAGGAGAUCUUCGUGUGCUGUCUUUCAAAUUCAUAUAGGGGUUCAAGGAAUUGGAAUUGUUGGUUUUUGAAGUACUACUUUUUUUGGAGAAUGGAUUUGGGUGUCCUUCCUUCUUGAUUCAAAUUGCAAAGAUCAUUUUUUUGAUUUUUUUUAAAUUCCCGUUCCCGUUAUAGAGAAUUGGUUCAAUUAAUUUGGAUUUUUUUUCUUCUCAAUUUCUAGACAGCAGCUCUUCGCUCCUCACUCAACUUGCCUUCUUUGGGUUUCUUAUUCGAUGAACUGAUUGUCAAAACCCAAGUAAAUUAAAUCGAAUUACAAACCACAACAUGAAUCUUUUUUUUUUUUAAUUUUAUAAGAAAAUAAAUCAGGGACGUGGCACGUAACUGCCAAAUUAAAAUGAGAUAAAAUGUAUGGAAAGAAAACAUUUCUCUCCCCUGUGAGAGUCUUUCUCACUGUUGUGUAAGUGGUUUUUUGCUCUCUUUGAUUUUCGUCGUCGCCGGCCCUAACUUUGGUUAGGGUCGGUGCCAGUCCUUUGUUUUUCAUGUGUUCUUUGUUUUUGUGGUUUGUGGGGUUUCAAUUUUUUCUUGCUUUUUCUGUUGCAUGUAUGUUUUCCUCUCCUUCUCUGCCACUUUCACGAUUUGUUACUAUCCUUUCUCCUUUUGCUUUUGAUCUCACCUUUUUGAGACCAAACCUCCAAUCCCCUGUUUCCUCCAUCCUCUUUGACCAUUUCCCCCUCUUUGACCCACCCCUCCAUCUACUGCAUCAUCUUGGCCCGCCAUACAUCCCCCCCUUUCACCUUUACCUCUGUCCUUAAUUUUGGUUGGUUCUCGUCUCCGUUUACCGCAAUCUGUCGCAGAUCUUUGGGAGGGUGUGUAGAGCUUUAGCUCGGGUGUUCGCACCACCACCCUUGUUGACCAUUGUUGGUCCUUCCCGUAGUUUGCCCUUGUUGGCGUUGUUGCUCGUGGGUUCUUCCUGCCUGCUUCUUUGUUCUCCUGGCGACGGUUCUUGCUAGUACUUUAAGGAAGUUAUUGCUUUUGUAUUCAUCAUUUCUAGGGUUUUGGUGGUGUGAUCUUAAGUGAUCGUGAUUGGAGGUUGAUCGUGACGUUUGUUGGGUGGCUCUCCGGUGUUGGUUUCGGCGUCUCCAGCUUCUGGAAGACUGGAUAUUUAGGUCUUUUUUGUGUUGUUUGUUUGUGUGUGCUGUACUCUAAGGUUGGGCUUGGGGCUUUGCCUUUUGCUUGUGUGUGGCCCAUUUUUGUUUGUGUAUAACUUGUUUUGGCCUUUGUUGUACUUGUGUUUGUUGGUAAUGAAUUUACCCUUUGUCCCAAAAAAAAAAUGUAUGGAAAGAGAUCCUAUCCGGACUCCUUUCCACCUAAUCCACCUAGUCCAGGAUCCGGACCAUUGAAAUUUGAUCAAACGGCUACAAACAGGGCCCCCCUUUAAAGUGAUAAUAAUUGUAGUCAUUAGAUCAAAUUCCAAAGAUCUGGAUCCUGGACUAGGUGGAUUUGGUGGAAAGGCAUCCGGGGAGGAUCUCUUUCCAAAAUGAAUCUAACCCAACCAAUACCACUCCUCCAUUGUAAGAGAGGGAGCGAUUAAUAUCUCGGUUAAUGCUGGGGAGACCAAAAUUUUAAACCAAAUUUACAAACCAAAUUAUGUGUCACCAAUAGUAAAUAGACACGUUAAUCAACGUUUAAGUAAUAAUCUAAUCACCAACAUCCAUAUCAUUUGAUUAAUAAAAUUUAGUUUAGAAAUUUGAUUUCCCUAAUAUUACAGAAAUAAAAUAAGAAAAUACAAAUAAAACACAGUGAUAAUAAUGUAGGGAAAAAAAGAAACUUAAAAUUCGUUUUAUUGAAAAAGAGAAGAAGAAAAAAAGUAAAUAAAAAAGAGAACGUGUUGAACCCCUCAAAAGAAAUUAGAACGUGAAAACUGAAAAACUGCAACACAUAAAGCAAUUUCUUCAAAUUGAACUACCAAUAUCCUUCCAUAAAUAUUUUCAUUGCUUCUGUAAGUUUUAAAUUUCUAAUUUCUUUUAUGAUCGACUUUUAGCUUUUUAGUUAGAGUUUUGACUUGCAGACGACCAUAUUGUUGUAGAGCAGUUGAGGGAUGGGAUUUUCAUUAAGAGCAACUCCACCCUUGGAGCCCUUCCUCCAGGCAAUCCACUAUUCAAUCCACCCUGGGAACAGUAACUGUCAUAAUGAACAGUAACUACCUUUUGCAUAUCCACCCUUGCACUUGAAUAGCCCUGACAAUAGGCAAUAAAAUAUUUAUUAUUUUUUUUUUUACAAAAUAAUACUAAAUAAUUUUUUUUGUAAUUUCGGAUAAGAUAUUUUAAAUCGUUUUCGUUGCGCCAUGUGUCAUUUACCCAAAACAUAAUUAUAAUUAAAGUAGGUAACAAAUAAAUAAUACAAACAAAUAAUUACAAUGUAAAUUUGGGUAUAGUACAAACAAAUAAAUAAUAUAUUGUUACCUGAUCCGUGUAAUUUUCCCCACUUCGAAGAUUACUACUAGCUUGUACCAAGGCGUCUCUCCAAAUAGUAAACGAUUGGCUAAGUAAUUUCCAACGACUAGACAUCGAUUCUUUGGUUCUACUCCCACCCAUUUUCUCAAGAUAAUUGGUAUGAAUAAGACUCCACAUUUCUCGCAACUGCAUCUCAUUACCCGUAAGCGAACUAUGAGUAACUUCAACACAGCUAGUACACAACGCAACAUCUUCAAGAAGCGACCAAUUCGUACCUGCAGCAGUAGUCAUUUUGUUGAAAAAAAUUGGAUUGAAACUUUGAGAGAAAGAUAGGAAUUUGAUUGAAAGUAGUUGAGAAAAUAUGAAAUUGUGGUGUAAGGUAGAUGAUAAUGAGAAAGUAUUUAUAGAAAAGUAGAAACAUUUUUUUUUAAUUUUCAAAUAUUUUUUUUCGGAUUUUUUACAAUUUUUUAAAUUCUUUUAUUCAAAUAAUUAAUCUCUGGUGUUGGAUUUAAAAAAAAUUGAAAUCCAACACUUCAGAUUGUGCCACAUGUCACAACGGUAACUUUUCUUAAUUUUAAAACUAUUUUUUCUUUUUUUUUUAAUUUAUAAAGCAGAUUAACAUCAAUCGUUGAUCUCAAAUCGAACGGUUGAUAUUAAAUCAGUUUAUUUUUUUAUUACCGUUGGAAAUCGGACGGCUCGUAUUAAAGAGCCGUUGGGAUCGAACGCACCGUGGGAUGCCACGUGGCUUCCCAACGGUCACCUGCAUUUCCUAGCGUGCGGGCCCUGUGCCCUGUAAACUUGUCGGCUGACGCGCCCCCACUUGUGAGUGAGGGGCACGCGCCUGACAACAACAACAACAACAAAGCCUUUUCCCACUAAGUGGGGUCGGCUAUUGAUGACACAAAAAAAAUUAAAAAAUCAUACCCAACUCAGGCUGCAGGCCUGUCAACUCUCCACGGGCCUGGCCCUCGGGCUCCCACAUUCACUCGGGCUGUCCAAGGCUAGAGGCCUAUCCACCGGCCCUCUGGCCCUUUCCCUUCGCUUGUCCCCCGAGCAACCACUAAGGAUGGAGUUGCUCUAAAGGGAAGUAGUGUCUUAAGACUUUUUACUUCAUCUGGUACGCUUUUUUAUUUAUUCAUUAAGCAAUUAGGCAAAAGCAAUCCUUGGUCUGCCACGAGAUGCUGAAUUUUGAUUUAAAAUUUACGCUAUCCAUGUUUGAAAUGUGACUCUGUUGCCUCACUUCAUUUUAUGGUUUAGUUCAUAACCAACAAAUUCAUUACUUUAGAACUCGUUUGGAUGUACUUUUAAAAUGACUGAAAGUGCUUUUAAAGAAAAUGUUUUUUGGUUUCAAAAGCACUUAAAUGCUUUCUGUAAAAGCACAAGUUAUGUGCUUAUUUAAGGAAGCACUUUAAGUGCUUUUCCAUAAUUUACUUGUAUUUUUACUAAGAAUUGGUUCCAAAAAUAUUUUCACCAAAAGUGAUUUCAAUCAUUUUAAAAGCAUAUCCAAAUGAGCUUUUAAUUUCCUUUCCAAUUAAAGGAAGCACUUGCAAGCUUCCACCACCAACAGGAUCCUCUCUGGAUCCUUUUGGUGAGGAUGAUGGGGAUCCGUAAAUCGUGUAUGUUCAUCGUACAUCGUACGGUCAAUUUUUGUCAAGUACUUUUUAUAUUUAUUUUUAAAUAAAAAUAUUUAAAAUGAUUUCUGACUGCACGAUGUACGAUGAACGAAUACGAUUCACGAAUUCUCGAGAUUCUCACAAAGAGAAUCUGACGAGGCAAGAACCACUAGGCCACUUGUAGUGGUUUCUUUUUGCGCUUGUGCGCAGUGCACUGUGAUGUAAAAAAGUUUCUACCAAACAAGCGCAAAAAGAAACCACUGCAAGUGGCCUAGUGGUUCUUGCCUAGUUAGGUUUGCUCCCCAGCCUAGGUUCGAACCCCAGCCUAGGUUCGAACCCUGAAGCUUUCAAAGUGGCUAGGCAUUAUGCUGCAAUGCAUAGUUGGAGCAUUUCACAUGCGAAUGAGGGAUUCGUCCUUGGGCCUAGGACGACUUUGGGAUACCCUUGACUUAGUUAAAAAAAAAAAAAAACGCAAGAAGAAAAACAACUAUUAAAUGACCUUGAAGGCAAUUUAAGUGGAGGAUUAAACAGAUAACAACGGACAUUGUAAUUUUUAUUUCAGCUUUUUUUUUGGUAAUCCGCACGUAACUUUUGCAAUUAUAUGAGUGUUUGCAGAAAGAGAUGGGAGGUUGGUAGUUGUGGGUGGGGCCAAGUUAAUUAAUGAAUAUGAAGGAAGAGUUAAUAAGAGAUGGGCGUUUGCUGCCUUAGUCUCUAAGUUGUUUGUUGCCUUCCCCUGGUGGAUUAGGCUUUCCCUUUUGUUUGAUGGUGCCUUGAAUUUUCUUCUUUGCCCAGCUUUCUGAUGUUGUUCUCUUUGGGCUUUUGCCCUUUUAAUAAUGGUGUUUGCAGAAAGAAAUAGGAGGUUGGUGGUUGUGGGUGGGGUCAGGUUAAUUAAUGAAUAUGAAGGAAGAGUUAAUAAAAGAAAACUCAUCGUAUACCACAAUCAUCAUUUAAUUAACUAAUUUUUCUUAAUUAUUAAUUUAUUAAAUAAUGAACUAAAUUUAAAAAUCUGAUUAAUUCAAAUGAUGUGACUAUCCACAUCAAAUAUCACCUAAGAUGGCAUAGAAAUAUGGUAUAAAAACAUGGUAUGAAUAGCAUUACUCUUCAUAUGUGGGAAAAAGAAAAAAAAAGGUUAAACUCCAUUAAUUUCUCAACCUGUUCAUCUUCUUUCUUGGUAGAUUGCAGAUUCGCCCAACUCCUAAACAUACAAAAUCCUUUUUCUUUGCUGGGUUCAAGCCCUUGUUGGUGUUGCGCAUGGUGGACAACUUGACCGAGGAUUUGACAGAGAGCAGGCGACCAAGAUGAAGGUUGUGAAGGGAAAGGCGAUCUGGUGCUGUCGAUUUUAGGCUGGUGAGGAGAGUGGGGAAGUUGAUGGACGACAAGAUCUUGUCGUUGAUUAGGCGAUGAAGGCUCAGAAGAUGGCGAUGUUGGAGGCUCUGAACCUUCACCCACUCCUCAAGCUUCUGCAACCCACAACUUCUACAACCCACAAACUCCAACCUAUGAAAGCUGCAAUUUUCAGCAGCCACAAAGUCCCGGGCUUUACGACCCGCUGCAUUUGUAGAAUCCUGGGAUUCACGACCCACUGCAUUUUCUACAACCCACAAAAUCAUAAGUUUUAUCUCAGAAAGAAAAAAAAAACAUAAAGAGAUGAUGGAAAAGGGAAGAGUGGGAUGGGGUGUAACAAAAGAUGAUGGGAGGAAUCUAGGUUCUUUAUUUAAUUAAUUUGAAUUAUAUUCUAAAAAUAAAUAAUAAGUGUCAUAAGUCAUCUUAGGUGUCAUAUGUUAAUAGGUGGUACUCCAGCUCAGCAACUAUGCCCGUCAUCUGGAAAAAUUUCUCGGUUGGUUGUUGUGGGUGGGGAGAAAUUUUUAGUUGUAACGGAAACACAAGUGGUACACUACGUGUUUUAAUAGGAAUGGUAGGAAAUUUUAUUUUUUAAGUUAUUAACUUUUUAGCACACAUAUUCCAUCAUUUGUUUAAUGACACGUGAUGUAUCACCCCAUGUACCGGUCACAUUGAAAAAUCUCUCGUGCGUGGGGCCAGUUCAGUGGGUUGUGGAUGGGUCCAAGUUAAUGAAUAAAUUUUUGGUUUCUUUCAUUAUUAAAAGAAAAUAAAUUACUACAAGAAAAUAUUUGUAUAGUAAAAGUUUAGUACCUAUGCACAAACUUGAAUGCAGAAACUUGCAAGUUGCCACAUAAAAGAGAUGUAAAAAUUAUAAAAAUUCCAGUUUUUUUUUGGGUAAAUUACAUUUUCAUACCUCAGGUUUGGGGUCUAUUUCAAUUCCUUACAACAUCUUCCAAACAUUUCACUUUCAUACCUUAAGUACUAUUUUAUUUCAAAAUAAUACAUCCGUUACAUUUUCCAUCCAUGGAUUUGUUAAAUGAUGACGUGGCUGCCAAAUGUCUGCCACGUGGCAAAUAAAAUAAUUUUUUUUUAAACCUGAAUUUUUUUUUUCUUCUUCUUCUUAUUCUUUUGGGUUGUAGGGAGUUCCCUUUUUUUCUUCUUCUUCUUCUUCUUCUUCUUCUAGGUUGCAGGGGGUUCCUUUUUUUUUUCUUCUUCUUCUUCUUCCUCCUCCUUCUUCUUCUUCCUCUGGGUUGUAGGGGGUUCGAGUCCCCUUGCAGGUUUUUGGGUUCUUCAGGGAUGUGGGUCGUUGGGGGGAAGAAGCCAGAGGAGGAGAAGAACAAGAAGAACAAGAAAAAGAAAAGAAAAAAAAGGAACGCCCUACAACCCAGAAGAAGAAGAAGAAGAAGAAGAAGAAGAAGAAGAAGGAGGAGGAGGAGGAGGAGGAGGAGGAAGAAGAAGAAAAAAAAGGACUGAACCCUCUGCAACCCAGAAGAAGAAGGAGGAAGAAUGAGGAAAAAGAAGAAAAAAAAAAAAGGAACCGAACCCCCUGCAACCUAGAAGAAGAAGGAGGAAGAAGAAGAAGAGAAGAAGAAUGAGGAGGAGAAGGAGGAAGAAGAAGAAGAAGAAAAAAAAAAAGGAGCACCCUGCAACCCAGAAGAAGAAGAAUGAGGAUGAGGAGGAGGAUGAGGAAGAAGAAGAAGAAGGAAAAACAAAAACAAAAGGGACCAAACCCCCUGCAACCCAGAAGAAGGAGGAAGAAGAAAAAAAAAACAAAACAAAAAGGACCGAACCCCCUGCAAUCCAGAAGAAGAAGAAGAAGGAAAAAGAAGAAGAAGAGAAGAAGGAGGAGGAGAAGGAGGAGGAAGAAGAAGAAGAAGAAGAAAAAUAUUCAGGUUUUUUUUUUUUUUUUAAAAAUUAUUUUAUUUGCCACGUGGCUAACAUUUGGCAGCCACGUGGCAUAUAUGUGGCAGCGACAUCAGCAUUUAACAGAUCAAUGGAUGAAAAUGUAACGGAUGUAUUAUUUUGAAAUAAAAUAGUACUUAAGGUAUGAAAGUGAAAUGUUUUGAAGAUGUUGUAAGGAAUUGAAAUAGGCCCCAAACCUGAAGUACGAAAAUGUAAUUUACCCUUUUUUUUUUUUUUAAGAAAUUGUUAUUCUAAUUUUUUGCAAAGAUGAUUUUUAGACUUAAAUUAUGAAUAAGAUCAAAAUCUAAUUUUAGUCCCUUGAUACAUUAAUCACCUCAUUUAUUAAUUAUAGCUUGAUGUUUUAAUUAUUUCUCUAUUUCUUUCUAAUUUUAAUGUAUUAAUUAUAUUUCAUUAUAAUUUUCAUUUUCAUUUCAUUCAUCGUAAUAUAUUUUGUUGUAAUAACUAAACUAAUUUUUGUUAUACAAUAUAUUUUGAUAUACUUUGUUUUCUUAUUUAGAUACAUUAAAUUCAUUAUAAUACAUUUCGGUGCAUCCAUUUAGGUAUACACAUUUCAGUACAAACAUGUAGAUAAAUUAAUUCAAUGUAAUACAUUUUGGUACAAACAUUUUUGUGCAUACAUUUUGGUACACACAUUUAGGUACAUUAACUCACAAUGUAGCUUUUCGGUACUAACAUGUCGGUACAUACAUUUCAGUACGAACAUUUAGGUACAUUAACUAAGUCUUUCAAGUUUAAAAAAUGUUAAAUAAAAGUAAUAAAUUUAAAAAAAAAAACUUUUUUUUGGUCAAAAAAUAAAAUUAAAUGUGUAAUCUAACACCAAAUUUUUAUUAAAUUUCAAUCUUCUUCAAGGAUUAAAAUUAAAAUUUAAAAUUUAAAAAAAAAAACCUUUUUUUUUCCUUAAAAAUUCUAGAUGAAAAUCAUAAUUUGUUUAACAGCACUAUUUUUCGUGUCCGAGUAUUAACAGCCACCGAUAAUAUACUUUGAUGCAUGCAAAGUUAGAAAGGCACUGGUUUUUUUGGUGUGUAAAGACUAAAGAAAGGUGUCCUAUAGCUACGCUGGAAUUCUUUUAGUGUUUGCCCUUACCAUUCUAUGAGUUUCUUUGUAUGACAUCGCUAGUGACGUAGUCAUAAUUUUUAAAUAAUAGGAUCAUAAUAUCAACAAAAAAACUUCAUAAGACUGCAAAGGCUUUUCAAUUCAAAUAUUUCAUACAAGAAGAGAGAAAAAAAAGACAAAUAUGAUAGAAGAAAAUAAAAGAAGUAUGAAGAGGAGAUUGUAAUUUUGUUUGCCUUAAUUACUAAUAGGGGUCAAAUACACUAUACAAACAAAUAUACAAGGAGUUUUUGAAGUUAUUGGGAUCAAGAACAACUAAUGAUCUAAUGCUGACUCUGCCACUAGACAUCGCCACUCCCGGCCCCUCCCCACCCCAUCCCUCUCCUUGCACCCCACACUCAUCCCCCUCCUUGCACCCCACACUCAUCCCCCUCCACCCGGGUCUCUCCCACCCCAUACGAACUUACGUAACAUGGUUUACGUAUGCUUGGUCAGUUUUCUAGUAAGUUAAUAUUGAAUAGACAUAAAGUUCAUUUUGCAUUAUUGUUGACCCUAAAAACUACCAAGCUUACGUGGCAUGCAGGCCGAGUAACUAAUGAGCUAACUACGUCCUUCGAUUAUGUGCGGGGCGUGCCAACUCGUCGGCCGGGGAUUAAAAUGUGUUGAUGUCGCGUUGGGCGUGCUGUUGACUUCUUGAUCUUGUGACUGCGACUAAGGAAGGAACACGUCUCGGCCUUCGGGUUCUAGAGCCUGAAGACAAGAUUGCUAGUUCUACGAAGUUCAAUAUCAAAUUCGGCUUUCAAUGUGCCAAAUGUAGUAACUUGUAACACCUCACUUCGCCGAGAAGGCUAAUGAGAUCAGUGGCGAAGCCAUGAUUUCUUGAGGGGAUGGGCGAACUCAAAAGAGUGCAAGGUUAAAGAAAAAUUGCAGCAACUAAAUCUUUUUAUAUAGUAAUGUCUUCCGUAAUUAAUCAAUACAAACAAAUUACAAUUGUUGCUGGCGAGGUUUCAUAUCAUGAAAACGUCGCAUAAUAGGCUCAUUAUCAAUAAAAGCAAAUACAUCUUUCUCAAUGUAAACAACCAUGCUAUCACUCAACCAUUGAUCUCUCAUUUUGUUACGCAAUAGUGUUUUCACAAUCUUCAUAGCAGAAAAAGCUCUCUCUACCGAAGUGGUUGCAACUAGUAACACCAAAGCCAAUGUAAGAAGCUUAUACACUAACAUAUAGCUUUCACACAUUCCGGUCUUCACUAACUCUUUAUCAAAAUCACAAUUGAAUAGAUAGCAAUAACGGCAAAAUGCGACAUCUUUUACUAUACUAUACUCCAACCACUUAAAAUUAUCAAACCAACGGGUGACAAAACAUCGAUUGUUGCUAACUUUUUUAGACAUAAUGUGAUCUUUAGGUUGACAAGGAUUAUUUUGGAGAUAGUGUCGACGAAUUGCUUCACAAUAAUUAGGAAUCAAGCAUUCGACGUCUAUGGUCCAGGGUCUAUAGGAAGAUUAGUUAGUAUUUCAUCCAACUCAGUGACCUCACUUUGUUGGGAACUACUCGGAAUACUCGAAGAAUGAAUAUUUGGAAUAUUCGAAGAAGGACUACUUAGAAUAUUCUAAGAAGGACUGGCCGGAAUAUUUGAAGGAGGAUUUAAGUAUUGUUUCUUAUAGUAUCGUUCCAUUGUUUAACUGUAUAUGGAAAAGAAAAAAAAAGUCUUAGACUCUUAAUUCUAGAGUAAGCUAUACUAUAGUUAAUAUGAGUACUAACUAAUUAAACCAACAAUUCAAUUAAUCAAUACAAAUAUUCAUAUAAAUUAUUUAAUACACAAAAAUUCAAGUAAUAAAUUAAUAUCAAUAAUCAACAAUUCAAUUUUUAUUCUAGACUAUAAUUUCAUUCAUCAAUAAUCAUUCAUAGGAUUCAUAUUUAUAUGCAAAAAUCAAUAAUCAAUAACUAUAUUAGUGUAUUACUCUAUGAUUCUAUAUUAAUUAACUAAAAUUUUGUAUUAAUUAAUCAAUUAGGGUUAGGGAUAAUAUAAAUUAGAAAGUUAAAAAAUCUACCUAAAAUUGAGAGAGAAGUGGAAAACCAACCCAACAGGUUGGCUACUAUGUUGGAGGUUGGUAGCUGACUAUGCUUGAAGGAGAAAUAAGGGACAACGGAAUGAGAUGGAGGGAGGAGGGCGUUGAAAGCCUGAAACGUGAAAGCUGCUGGGAUUUUAGGGGGGGGGGCAAAGGUCUUCUGAUUGGUUAAAAGGGGAUUGGUUUUCAAAAAGUGAAGGUCUGCUUUGAAAAAUGUAAGGCACGAGGACAAUGGUCCUCUUCAAAUAUUUUUUUUUUUUAACCAAUUAACGAAACGGCGUCGUUUGUUUAAGGAGUUUUUUUUUUCAAUACUAAAUGAAACGAUGCCGUUUCAUUUAAGGGUUUUAAAAAAAAAUUACAUAAGCUGCUGUUGUGCAGCAGCAGAAAUCAAUCUGCAGACUACAGUGCAUCCAUUCAUUCCGACGAGACCAGAAGGGCAGAACCAUGGGCUUAAUUUCCGACGAUGGGAGGGGCGACCGCCCCUCACAGUCCCUCUGUAGCUUCACCACUGAAUGAAAUGACCUCUGCCAAUAAGGAUUCGAAAAUCUUUCUCGACCGAGACUUGGAUAGAUAACCAGUUGGCCUCGACGCAGUACUGUUUAUCCAAACUGAAGGUGCUCCACCGUCGACUGAUUCUACGGCAACAGUGUUGUUUAUCCAAACUGAAGAUGUCACUGGUUGUGUUCACAGUGCUGUUUAUCCAAACUAAAGAUGUGCCGGCGAAAAGAAAAUAAAAAUCUCAAGGUUGUUGAGAGGUUUCGCAUAGAGCGAGAGUUUGCGUAGGGCAGUUUGUGUCUUGAGUUCGAGAGGUUUUACGAUGCACAAUGCCUCUAUAUUUAUAAUGCUGCUCUCGUUGAUGGCCAAGCCGUAAAUCUCUAAGUCUCCUGAUGUGUCACGGCUACUAGAAAAUAAUCUCUUAGUCUUUUGAUGUAUCACGACUACCAAAUUGAAGCAAUCCCUGAGUCUUCUUACGCCAUAAAUCUUUAAUAUUUAAAUACACCACAUCUGACCAAACACGUCUACUCCUUAUCCCAUCAUCAUGUGAUCAAUGGUCAAGAAAUUACCAUGUCACUAUCUUCUGUUAAUUUGCUUUUCCAUCAUGUCCAUAGGUUAAAGCCUAAACACAUCACAUCACCAUCUUUCACCUUUAUCCCAUGCAUGGAUUAAUUGCAUGAAAUUAAUCCAAUAUUAGCUGCAUUGCCAGAUACAAAAUAUCCCAUCAUCAUUCAAAUUGGGAUUUAGAUAAAUAUCAUGUUUAAAUAAUUUAAUAUAUUACUAAGAGAUAAUAUCAUGAUUAAAAUCACAAUAUCAUUUCUUAAUAAUAAUUAAAAACCAUUUCAACCACUUUAUUUUUCAACAGUCUAAAAUCCUGCUCAUUCAACGACCUUGAUUGCGGGGGCUGAUAGCGUAAAUUUGAUUGCUCCCUAGUUUCAUUGAGCUUCGGCUCUUAAGCCGAAUGGUUAAGGAAAUUAAGCAUUUAUGUGUGGCUCUCAACCGUUAGACAUGUUACUCAGCUACCGACUCCAUUCAAGAGAAAAAGAAAGCAAAACUGAGAAACAUGGCUUUGUUAAAAACAAGGUCAUAAAAGAAAUCACAUCGUGGCCUAUUAAAUGAUGUUGUCGGCCAUGACUAAGAAAUUCCAAACAAAUGCCAAUCUUUGCAUGCCAUACUUUUUGGCCGAGAUUUCAAUUCGACAGGAUUUGUCCUAUUGUAAACAUUGCCUCCGAAUUAUACUAUGGUCGAGCUCGACCAACAAUCCUCGGUCAUUAAGAUCAAGUCCUUUCUGAUCCAACCAAAUCCUUCUUGGCCCUCAGCCUAAGCACUAUGUCCUCUAACACGAGCUCAUGCUACAAAUGCCAUGACCGCUUAGCAAAAUCUCUGCUAGUCGAGAAAAACAUAUGGUCGAGAAAAACUACCAGGAAGAACGUUGGAUGCACACGUCUAAGGGCAUGCAACAUUGGCAACCAAACCCACUUGUCCUGAUCACUGCCAAGGUCUGCAUGGCAUUGGUCAAAUGGAGAAAGUGUACUUAUACAUAACAUUUCAUUCGGCCAACUCCAAAACCAAUCUCGCCGCAAAGGCCUACCACCUAGCACGGGUGACCUUCUGCGAACAUCUUUUCUCAGCCCGGCUAAAGAACAACUUUCCAAGCCAAGCAUACUAUCUUUUGGAUUGCUGCACCAUCUUGUUGCCCCCCUUAUUUUCUUAUGUAUCGGCCUAAAAGGCCGAAUGGUUAAGAAAAUAAUUUAUUCAUGCCUAGAUCUUUAUUCCUUGCCGAGAUCUUUCAAUACUAAUAUUGCUAAUCAGGUUUUGCACUAAGCCGAAUAAAAAAUGACCUCCAAAUAUUUUUGACUUGGUCAAAUAUUUUUCAUCGGCCGCCGAAUGUGUUGAACAAUUAUUAUGCUCCCCAUGCAUAAUUACUUCAUUAAUUUCGGCUUUUAACUCAAAUAACUUAGCCAAACAGGAUUUCUUCAUAUUGGUUGUAUCACCAAUAAUCAUAUCAAGUGGUGUAGUUUCUGCGUCUAAGACCAUGUCUCCAACUACCACAUCAAUUGAAGUGGUUUUAUGGUUUGAAGCCGUGUAUCGGUCUUGUUCGUCAUUGGAACACUCCUCUGACAAGUCAUUUUCUGAGUCGAAUUUUGGCUCAAAAACUUGAAUUCUUUCUUCUAGGCUUACUACCACACUUUUAGUCUCGACCGAGACAACAGGUGGCCUAGGUGUUUCUUCGGCCAAAUGAACAAUUUUUUUAGGCCAAAGUCUGAUUGUGGCCGAGGUGGAAAAUUGCCCCUCAGCCUUUAGACUUAACCAUUUUUCAAAUGGAAUUGAUCUAUAGUAAAAAACAUAAGGAAAACGUUCUUCAUUUAGCCAGGCUUUAAAUCAAGCCUUGUCUUCGUUUACCCAUUGCUCUUGUAGGGUAACAUGAGCUUUUAUUCUCAACAUGUGGGCGAAUGAUUUUUGCCAUGCAUGGAUUAAUUGCAUCCUAAUCACAUCACUAUCCUAAUCACAUCACUAUCUUUCACAUUUAUCCCAUGCAUGGAUUAAUUGCAUGAAAUUAAUCCAGUAUUAGCUGCACUGCCAGAUACAAAAUAUCCCAUCAUCAUUCAAAUUGGGAUUUAGAUAAAUAUCAGGUUUAAAUAAUUUCAUAUAUUACUAUGAGAUAAUAUCAUGAUUAAAAUCACAAUAUCAUUUCUUAAUAAUAAUUAAAAACCAUUUCAACCACUUUAUUUUUCAACGGUCUAAAAUCAUGCUCAUUCAACGACCUUGAUUGCGGGGGCUGAUAGCAUAAAUUUGAGUCUAAACAAUUAUCCAACUAAGCAUAUGCGCAUGCUCACAACUAUAAAAGUAAAGGAGGUCAUUGAUAUGUUGAUCAGCAAAGAUUCAAAGCACACAGAAAAUAUAUAGAUCCGAUUUAACAUAAGUGAGAGACAAUGUCGAAUAAAGAAGCAAAAAAUGAAAGGACAGAUCCUGUAAAGGAUGACAAGAAAUCUGAAAAGGCUGGCGCUAACGCUGGCGCUGGCGAUGGUGGCGGCGGCGGUGGUGGCGGUGGUGGAGGUGGCGGUGGCGGUGGAGGUGCCGAUGGAUAUACCGGUGCCGGUGGAUAUGCCGGUGAAGGUGGAUAUGGCGGUGCAGGUGCAGGUACCGGUACCAGUGCCGGCGCCAGUGCCGGUGCCCGUGCCGGUGGACAUCCUGCUCGAAAUGACAGUGCCAACAAAUAAGCCAGCUGAGGGAUUCAACGACGUUGGCAACUACUACUGAAUAGGCCCUUAAGAGCCGAUCCUAAAUAAGAGGGAUUUAACCUCGUUGCAUGCAUGAUCGUAAUUAAACAUAUUGCCUAAAAUAAGAGUUGAUCCAAAAUCCAAGGUUUAUAGCAAGACCUCUAAAUUUGUGUAAUAUCGUUACUAUAAUAAAUUAAGAGUGCUAUUAUUUUCACUCCAAUGUCUUAUCUCUAUACUUACUUCUUAGUUAAAAUUUUAAUUACAAGUUUGUCUAUUUAUAAAAUGAUUGAUAAAGACUUUAAAGAUAAUAUACAUAGUUCUUUAAGAGGAGAGAUCCCAUUUGAGCCAUAGAUCAGACCUCGCAAUGAACUCGUUAUUCGCUAAUACGAAAAUCAAAUGCCAGGAGAAAGAGGAAGAAACUUGCUAGCUCUUUCCUCCCCUCUGGCAGCUGUGGUUUUGCUUGACAUGAUUUAUAUUUGUGGAUAAAGCAGAGCUUCUUUUGAAGUAUAUGGUCGUGGUGAUGCCCUUCCCAAUCACGUACUAUGAGUACUGUAGGAGGGGCAAUUUGCUAGAAGCUAUCAAGCUGUGGGAUGUUAUGCUAGUUAGGGGUCUGAAACCUGAUAUUUUAGCAUACAGCUUUUUAUACAUGGUUGUUGUGUGACUGGAGAACUAACUGUUGGAAAAUUAGUUAUUAGUUUAUGCACCUAGUCUGCAUACCGCACCACCAUCUGCUCGCACCCAUAUCCGUUAUACCAUCACUGCAAUCUGACCUGUUGUUGAACGAAUCCGUAAACGACGCUGCACCACCUGCAUCGCUCCGCUCUGGUCUGCAGCUCCCCGGCCGCACUGGAUUUGGUGAAACCACUUACACUGACUCUGCUUCUACACCUUUGAACGCUGCAACCUGCAGGAGCAUCCCACAAAUCUGUAUGGCUGCAAAGGAAAAAAGAGGAAAAAGGAGAAUGGAAUAAAAAGAAUGAAAAAAGGGGAGUAAAAAAAGGAAGAAACAAGAAAAAGAAAAAGAAAAAAUUGGUUGAUUGUUUGAGGCUUAGGCCCACAGGCAAGAAAGAAAUAUGAUUUGUUUGGUUUGUCUAUCGUUCUCACCGCGACGAUCGCUCGAGUGCUUGGACUGGUGAUCACUCAAGUGAAGUUAUGAAAGUUAGAUUUUUUGUUUUUGUUCAAGUUUGUUCGGAAGUUGGAAUUUGCAUUGGCAUUGGCAUCGGUAUUCGGCAUCGGCAUCGGCAUCGGCAUCGGUAUUGGCAUUAGCAUCGGCAUUGAUAUUGACAUUGGCACUGACAUUGGCAUUGGAAUUGGCAUUGGCUCUAGCACUAGAAUUUGGAGUCUUGCAUUCGCAUCUACUUGUUGGCAAACUCAUGAUGUGUACCGCCAUGAGUUUGACAGGGGGUGUUGGAAAAUUAGUUAUUAGUUUAUUUUUGUUUAUGGUUUUCUUGUGGGACAAGGAUAUUAGAAUUUUCUAUAUCCUUUAAGGGUUAGGAUUUAGGGUUUAUUAGAGUUUUCUAUAUCCUUUAAGGAUUAGGAUUUUGCUUUAGUUUUCACUAUAUAUAAUAGAGCUUGUAAUUUAGUUUGAGAAUAAGUUAGUCGCAAUGUAGUCUUUUAGGGUUUUGUAGCCGUUUUUGCAUUCUCAGUUUGUUUAAUAAUAUUCUUAUUAUUUUGUUAAUCUUGUUCGUUGCGCUCUGAUAUUCAACUCUAACCAAGGCUUUCGAGUUGCGUGAUGACAUGAUGAGUAGAGGAUUGAAGCCAAAUCGAGUUACAUAUAAAACACUCAUCCGUGGGACUUGCCUGACAAGUUAGGUUCUGUCCAUCAGCUGCAACUUAUGCAGGAAGAGUCGUUCUUUUGUUGUAUACGGAUUACGGAACCAGGCAUGCUUUCAAUACAUCGCGGAGCCAUGAUGAUUGAUGGUUCAACAUUCACAUUUUGUUUUUAGAUUAGAUACACACACAUCUAACUUGACAACAUGACCAGUUAUUCGUUUUAUGUACACUUUUUCCACCCUAUAUGCUGAUUUAUUAAGAAGGGAUGGUGGGAAUCCUUUAACUGAUUGUGUUCAGCAACGCGAACUAAGCCUGUGGGGAUGUAGGUUAUUGUUGUCAUGUUUUACAUACAUUUAAUCUCUAACAAGAUUUACCUGGAUUUUUGUUCUGGAUCCCUUCCACCUAAGACAUUGAGCACGGCCCUUGAAAUUUGAUUCAACAACUAAAAACAGGAGGUCCCAUUAAAAGUUAUAAUAACUUUAGCCGUUAAAUCAAAUUUCAAGUGUCCGGAUUUUUUGCUCAGUUGGCUUAGGUGGAAGGGAUCCGGAGAAGAUCCAUUUCCUUUAGUUGCAUCUCUUUGAUUUGGCCACACUCCAUGUUUGUGUCACGUAUAUGAUCUCCGUGUUGGAUAAAUAUCAACAAUCAAUGAUAAAUUUAUAUAUGCUAAUAAAUAAUAAAUGCGAAUAGAUAAAUUAACAGAGUAUGAACAAAACAAAAAUAUUAAAUAGACAACUUGAAGAUCGAGGCUUGCGUACCACAAUGUCCUUGAAACAGAAAUUUCGUCCCUACUCAGUGCUUGUAGUUCUACGGACGUCGACUUCACCAUGAUUCAACGAUCUAAGUCAGAAUUCCAGCACCGAAAAACUUGACUUCUAGCGAAUUUCUUUGUGGUUCUCUCAGUAAGGAUGUUUGGGAUUGUAGAAGAAGAAUUUGAUUUUUCUGUGUUUAAAAUGUCAUGUAGAUGGAUGUAUUUAUUGUAAGUUUAUACAAGUUCGCAACAGGUAUGAGAUUGGGUGCGUCUUUUGGAAGACAUCUUUCCCAAAUUCGUGCUUUGCUCUGCGUUCUUUCAUCACUUCAGACUUUAUCUGAAAAGAUGAGUCUGGUAAUAAAAAAAAUAAAAUUAAUUAAAGAAUUUAACUUUUAGAGCCCCAAGGCUCAAGGCUCAUCUUUCGAUUAUAUAUAUUAAUUAGUACACUCCAAAGCCCAACUCUAAAGUUGAGCCCAAUUUCAUUCUCCAUGGUCCAUCAUUUCAAUCACUAUCUAUAAGGAAUAAAGCCUUCUAAUGUGAGGGAACCUUUUGGUAGUGACCAAUAUGGGACAAUAAAAUUUCUACUCAAAAUUUUCAACACUCCGAUAUGCCAGAUGCUGCUUUUUCUAGAAAUUUGGUUGGUUAGCUAGUUAAGAGAAGGUGAACUGAGCCUCUAAGUUGCACUUGCACAUAUUUUUCCUUAUGUCCUGCAACUUUAUAAUAUUUUUUUUCCGGUACAACGGCGGAGAGCCUAACAACUACCCGGGAAUGGCCCUGGACUUUGCCAAACGAACAAUACUUGGUUACUAAAAGAUGAGUGUGAACUCCUACUCAAAAUUCUUAGUGUUUGAAUCACGGAGCUUUGUGUUUAUGAUUAGAAUCGUUCAUACUAUGAAUCACAUUGUAAAGAUUAUCUCCGCAAAAAUUAAAUUAAAACUAAAGCCGUUUAGUCAAUCUAUUGGAGUAAAUAUAUAGACAGUUCAUAAUACUUUUACCACUACCGUUCAUUUGUUUUUAAAUAGUUUGAUGACUAAACGACCUUAGUUUUAAUUGAUUGUUUGCAAAUGCGAUAUUUAUAUGGUGAUUUAUAAUAUGAACAGUUCUGAUUAUAAAUACAAAGUUCUAUAAAUUGACAACAAACUAUUUUGAAAAUUUUUGAGUAGGAGUUCCUACUCAUCUUUAACAAAGUAUUAUUCUUGCCAAACUCAAGGUAUCAGAAGCCACCAGCGAGUUUAUAAUCUAAUCGACAAUAUAUGAGCUCAACAUGCAGGUGGAUCUCUCAAUAAACAGUGAAGGAGUUACACAAUGCGCUCAUGCAACACUAGGUUUUUGGAAAAAAAAACGGGCGGCUAUCCGCUCAGAGAGCAAAAAAUUUCAGUUGUGACGGAAAUACGGAUGUACACCACGUGUUUUUAUGCAAGGGGAGGAAAAUUUUAAUUUUUAAGUUAUUAACCUUUUAACACACAUAACCUACCAUUUAUAUUGAGACACGUAGUGUACUACUUUGUGUGACGGGAACACUGAAAAAUCUCUCCUCAGAGAGAGUCAUACCUAUUAAUCCAGUGUCUGAAUAGCUAGAACCAAAAUGGUGUAAUACAGGCACACAAAAAAACGAAAAACAAACUCAUUUCCGAACCAAAACUAACAGCAUAACAGCUCUUUUUCUACAUGGUUAAAAAGAGUAAGACGCGUUUGAGGUUUAACAGUACAAACCCAGUUUUUCUUCCUUCAGGAGAUGACACGACUUAGCUUCUAGAUGUAACCAUAAGGACAUACACUGCAUAAGUUCCUUCACCUCGUCUAAAACCGAGAUCGCAGGACUCGUUCAAAAUGAAGAGAGACUGAAAGGUAAAUUCAAACCGAGAAUUAUAAUCUAGUCAAAGUUCACAACCCCACAAACUAUGAACAUAUCACAUAAAAGUAAAGCAGAGCAUGAGAAAAACGGACAUAACAAGACCAAGCUUCUUAGUUUGCACGACUUUUGAUAACAUCGAGACCUAUCUCAGUCGGAUCAGUAGCCUGCAGCUCGACUUGUAUGCCGUCCAAUUCUCUCUUGAACCUGUCCUUGGAGCUUGCAUAAAGAACAUAAGCAAAAAUGACGAGAAAAAGAGAGACGCGUUUUUAGGUUAGAAAAGUACCAUCCGACGAAGAAAAUCCUGCUUUUCUGACAGUUCUCUACAGUCACAAAGUCAAAAUCAUAGACAGCAUAUCUGCAUUCAUUAUCAGGAAGGUUUGCAGUAAAGUCUUCAUAGCUUUCAGCUGGCUCACCGAGCUUCUCCACAAUCACCUCAUUUUUCUUCUCGUCAAUCUUGAACACUAUGAAGCGAUAUGUUCUCUUAGCCUUCAAUUCCAGGAACUUCAGCUUGCAGUCAUCAUUCACAGCAAAUCCGGACGCUGCAUCAGCCUGAUCAUAUGAUGAAACAGAAGAUAGAUGUUAUUCUUAUGCAACUUAUUUCCACAAACCCAACACACACUGGUUUUGAAACAAUAAACAUGUAUUCACUCUCCUACUCAGCCAAAAAAAUUAAGCUCAGAAAUUCUCAAGAAAACAAUUAAUCUACAAUGUUGUGCCAAAGUUAUCAAACAACGGAAUCAGAUAUUAAAAUGCCACGGUGCCUCUCCUUGAAUGUAAGGGCCCGUUUAAUAACCAAUUUUAAUUCUAUAGAUAGAGAAGUAUGCGGGAGAAAGGAGGAGCAAGGGUGAACAAGGGAUGGUGGAACAAAUGUGAAGGGAUGUGUAUGUAAUGGCACACAAUGGAAACUGAAAACAAUUUUGAAGUUGUUUUCGCUUUCUAGUUUUGUUUUCAUAUAAUCUCCUUCAUUUCUCCCCCUCCCAUCACCCCUCCCACCACCUCCCUUCAUCCUUUACAUUCCUCAUUUCUCCCGUAUACUCUCCCUCUACUUUAGCACAAAAAAUGAAGGCCUGCUGAUUGGUUAAAAGGGAUACCAUUCAUCAAAUUCAAUGCAGAUUUGCUUGUUGAAGUUGCUUGUUGCGUGUUGGUAAAUUUUGUGUUGCGAUACCAUUCAUCAAAUUCAAUGCAGAGUUGGUUUUCUUAGGGCACUACCCUUGUGACUACUGACGAGGUGGUAACGGCGGUGGCGGCAGCUGCAUUUUGCCUUUGCGGGAUAGAGAUUAGAAUUUUUAUUUUUGUUGUUUUAUCUUUUGUUGAAUGGGUUUUUGUCUACCCCAAUUUUUAAACAAGGGUCUUCUGAUUGGUUAAAAAGGGAUUGGUUUUCAAAAAGUGAAGGUCUGCUUUGAAAAAUGGAAGGCACGGGGACAGUGGUCCCCUUUAAAUUUUUCUAUUUUUUUUAACCAAUUAAUGAAACAGCGUCGUUUGUUUGAGGAGGUUUUUUUUUUUUUUUUUUCAAUACUAAAUGAAACGAUGCUGUUUCAUUUAAGGGAUUUAAAAAAAAAAAAAAAGUACAUAAGCUGCUACUGUGCAGCAGCAGAAACCGAUCUGUAGACUACAGUGCAACCAUUCAUUCCAACAAGACCAGAGGGGCGGAACCACAUUCAUGGGCUUAAUUUCCGAUGAUGGGAGGGGCGGCCGCCCCUCACAGUCCCUCUGUAGCUUCGCCACUGAAUGAGAUGACCUCUGUCAAUAAGAAUUCGAAAAUCCUUCUCGACCAGACUUGGAUAGAUAACCAGUUGGUCUCGACGCAGUACUGUUUAUCCAAACUGAAGGUGCUCCGCCGUCGACUGAUUCUACGGCAAUAGUGCUGUUUAUCCAAACUAAAGAUGUCACUGGUUGCCUUCACAGUGUUGUUUAUCCAAACUAAAGUUGUGUCGGCGAAAAUAAAAUAAAAAUCUCAAGGUUGUUGAGAGGUUUCGCAUAGAGCGAGAGUUUGCGUAGGGCAGAGUGUUGAGUUCGAGAGGUUUUACGAUGCACAGUGCCCCUGUAUUUAUAAUGCUGCUCUCACUGAUGGCCAAGCCAUAAAUCUCUGAGUCUCCUGAUGUGUCACGGCUACUAGAAAAUAAUCUCUUAGUCUUUUGAUGUAUCACGACUACCAAAUUGAAGCAAUCCCUCAGUCUCCUUACGAAUCUUUAAUAUUUAAAUACACCACAUCUGACCAAACACGUCUACUCCUUAUCCCAUCAUCAUGUGAUUAAUGGUCAAGAAAUUACCAUGUCACUAUCUUCUGUUAAUUUGCUUUUCCAUCAUGUCCAUAGGCUAAAGCCUAAACACAUCACAUCACCAUCUUUCACCUUUAACCCAUGCAUGGAUUAAUUGCAUGAAAUUAAUCCAGUAUUAGCUGCAUUGCCAGAUACAUAAUAUCCCAUCAUCAUUCAAAUUGGGAUUUAGAUAAAUAUCAGGUUUAAAUAAUUUAAUAUAUUACUAAGAGAUAAUAUCAUGAUUAAAAUCACAAUAUCAUUUCUUAAUAAUAAUUAAAAACCAUUUCAACCACUUUAUCUUUCAACGGUCUAAAAUCCUGCUCAUUCAACGGUCUUGAUUGUGGGGGCUGAUAGCGUAAAUUUGAGUCUAAACAUUGCUCCCUAGUUUCCUUGAGCUUCGGCUCUUAAGCCGAAUGGUUAAGGAAAUGAAUCAUUUAUGCAUGGCUCUCAACCGUUAGACAUGUUACUCGGCUACCGACUCCAUUCAAGAGAAAAAGAAAGUAAAACUGAGAAACAUGGCUUUGUUAAAACCAAGGUCAUAAAAGAAAUCACAUCGUGGCCUAUUAAAUGAUGUUGUCGGCCAUGACUAAGAAAUUCCAAACAAAUGCCAAUCUUUGCAUGCCAUACUUUUUGGCCGAGAUUUCAAUUCGACAGAUUUGUCCUAUUGUAAACAUUGCCUCCGAAUUAUACUAUGGUCGAGCUCAACCAACAAUCCUCGAUCGUUAAGAUCAAGUCAUUUAUGAUCCAACCAAAUCCUUCUUGGCCCUCGGCCUAAGCACUAUGUCCUCUAACACGAGCUCAUGCUACAAAUGCCAUGACUGCGUAGCAAAAUCUCUGCUAGUCGAGAAAAACAUAUGGUCGAGAAAAACUACCAGGAAGAACGUUGCAUGCACGCGUAUAAGGGCCUACAACAUUGGCAACCAAACCUACUUGUCCUGAUCACUGUCAAGGUCUACAUGGCAUUGGUCAAAUGGAGAAAGUGUACUUAUGUGUAACAUUUCAUUCGGCCAACUCCAAAACCAAUCGUCGCGAAGGCCUACCACCUAGCACGGGUGACCUUCUGCGAACAUCUUUUCUUGGCCAGGCUAAAGAACAACUUUCCAAGCUGAGCACACCAUCUUUUGGAUUGUCGCACCAUCUUGUUGCUCCCCUUAUGUUCUUAUGCAUCGGCCUAAAAGGCCAAAUGGUUAAGAAAAUAAUUUAUUCAUGCCUAGAUCUUUAUUCCUUGCCGAGAUCUUUCAAUACUAAUAUUGCUAAUCAGGUUUUGCACUAAGUCGAAUAAAAAAUGACCUCCAAAUAUUUUUGACCUUGUGAAAUAUUUUUCAUCAGCUGCCGAAUGUGUUGAACAAUUAUUAUGCCCCCCAUGCAUAAUUACUUCAUUAAUUUCGGCUUUUAACUCAAAUAACUUAGCCAAACGGGAUUUCUCCAUAUUGGCUGUAUCACCAAUAAUCAUAUCAAGUGGUGUAGUUUAUGCGUUUACGACCAUGUCUCCAACUACCAUAUCAAUUGAUGUGGUUUUAUGGUUUGAAGCCGUGUAUUGGUCUUGUUCGUCAUUGGAACACUCCUCUGACAAGUCAUUUUCUGAGUCGAAUUUUGACUCAGAAACUUGAACUCUUUCUUCUAGGCUUACUACCACACUUUCAGUCUCGACCGAGACAACAGGUGGCCUAGGUGUUUCUUCGGCCAAAUGAACAAUUUUUUUAGGCCAAAGUCUGAUUGUGGCCGAAGCGGAAAAUUGCUCCUCAGCCUUUAGACUUAAUCAUUUUUCAAAUGGAAUUGAUCUGUAGUAAAAAAAAUGUAAGGAAAACGUUCUUCAUCUAGCCAGGCAUUAAAUCGAGCCCUGUCUUCGUUUACCCAUUGCUCUUGUAGGGUAACAGGAGCUUUUAUUCUCAACAUGUUGGCAAAUGAUUUUUGCCAUGCAUGGAUUAAUUGCAUCCUAAUCACAUCACCAUCCUAAUCACAUCACCAUCUUUCACAUUUAUCCCAUGCAUGGAUUAAUUGCAUGAAAUUAAUCCAGUAUUAGCUGCAUUGCUAGAUACAAAAUAUCCCAUCAUCAUUCAAAUUGGGAUUUAGAUAAAUAUCAGGUAUAAAUAAUUUAAUAUAUUACUAAGAGAUAAUAUCAUGAUUAAAAUCACAAUAUCAUUUCUUAAUAAUAAUUAAAAACCAUUUGUACCACUUUAUUUUUCAACGGUCUAAAAUCAUGCUCAUUCAACGGCCUUGAUUGCGGGGGCUAAUAGCAUAAAUCUGAGUCUAAACAAUUAUCCAACUAAGCAUAUGCGCAUGCUCACAACUAUAAAAAGAAAGGAGGUCAUUGAUAUGUUGAUCAGCAAAGAUUCAAAGCACACAGAAAAUAUAUAGAUCCGAUUUAACAUAAGUGAGAGACAAUGUCGAAUAAAGAAGCGAAAAAUGAGAGGACAGAUCCUGUAAAGGAUGACAAGAAACCUGCAAAGGAUGACAAGAAACCUGUAAAGGAUGACAAGAAACCUGAAAAGGCUGGCGCUAGCGAUGGCACUGGCGGUGGUGGUGGCGGUGGUGGCGGUGGUGGUGGAGGUGGCGGUGGCGGUGGAGGUAGCAGUGCAGGUGCCGAUGGAUAUACCGGUGCUGGUGGAUAUGCCGGUGCCGGUGGAUAUGGCGGUGCAGGUGCCGGUGCCAGUGCCGGUGCCAGUACCGGUGCUCGUGCCAGUGGACAUCCUGCUCGAAAUGACAGUGCCAACAAAUAAAUAAGCCAGCUGAGGGAUUCAACGACGUUGGCAACUACUACUGAAUAGGCCCUUAAGAGCCGAUCCUAAAUAAGAGGGAUUUAACCUCGUUGCAUGCAUGAUUGUAAUUAAACAUAUUGCCUAAAAUAAGAGCCCAUCCAAAAUCCGAGGUUUAUAGCAAGACCUCUAAAUUUGUGUGUAAUAUCGUUACUAUAAUAAAUUGCUGUUAUUUUCACUCCAAUAUCUUAUCUCUAUACUUACUUAGUUAAAAUUUUAAUUACAAGUUUGUCUAUUUAUAAAAUGAUUGAUAAAGACUUUAAAGAUAAUAUACAUGGUUCUUUAAGAGGAGAGAUCCCAUUUUAGCCAUAUAUCAGACCUCGCAAUGAACUCGUUAUUCGCUAAUACGAAAAUCAAAUGCCAGGAGAAAGAGGAAGAAACUUGCUAGCUCUUUCCUCCCCUCUGGCAGCUGUGGUUUUGCUUGACAUGAUUUAUAUUUGUGGAUAAAGCAGAGCUUCUUUUGAAGUAUAUGGUCGUGGUGAUGCCCUUCCCAAUCACGUACUAUGAGUACUGUAGGAGGGGCAAUUUGCUAGAAGCUAUCAAGCUGUGGGAUGUUAUGCUAGUUAGGGGUCUGAAACCUGAUAUUUUAGCAUACAGCUUUUUAUAUAUGGUUGUUGUGUGACUGGAGAACUAACCAAGGCUUUCGAGUUGCGUGAUGACAUGAUGAGUAGAGGAUUGAAGCCAAAUCGAGUUACAUAUAACACACUCAUCCGUGGGACUUGCCUGACAAGUUAGGUUCUGUCCAUCAGCUGCAACUUAUGCAGGAAGAGUCGUUCUUUUGUUGUAUACGGAUUACGGAACCAGGCAUGCUUUCAAUACAUCGCGGAGCCAUGAUGAUUGAUGGUUCAACAUUCACAUUUUGUUUUUAGAUUAGAUACACACACAUCUAACUUGACAACAUGACCAGUUAUUCGUUUUAUGUACACUUUUUCCACCCUAUAUGCUGAUUUAUUAAGAAGGGAUGGUGGGAAUCCUUUAACUGAUUGUGUUCAGCAACGCGAACUAAGCCUGUAAAAACGUGUCUUCUCUUGGGGAUGUAAGUUAUUGUUGUCAUGUUUUACAUACAUUUAAUGUCUAACAAGAUUUACCUGGAAUUUAGUUGGGUAAAGGGAUCCUCUGAAUCCCUUCCACCUGAGACACUGAGCACGAAAUCCGGGCUCGAAAUUUGAUCCAACGUCCUAAAACAGAAGGUCCCAUUAAAAGUUAUAAUAAAUUUAGCCGUUAAAUCAAAUUUUAAGAGUCCGGUUUUUUUGCUCAGUUGGCUUAGGUGGAAGGGAUACGGAAAGGAUCCCUUUCCUUUAGUUGCAUCUCUUUGAUUUGGCCACACUCGAUGUUUGUGUCAUGUAUAUGAUCUCCGUGUUGGAUAAAUAUCAACAAUCAAUAAUAAAUUAUAUAUGCUAAUAAAUAAUAAAUGCGAAUAGAUAAAUUAACAGAGUAUGAACAAAACAAAAAUAUUAAACAGACAACUUGAAGAUCGAGGCUUGCGUACCACAAUGUCCUUGAAAAAAAAAUUUCGUCCCUUCUCAGUGCUUGUAGUUCUACAGACGUCGACUUCACCAGGAUUCAACGAUCUAAGUCAAAAUUCCAGCACCGGAAAACUUGACUUCUGGCGAAUUUCUUUGUGGUUCUCUCAGUAAGGAUGUUUGGGAUUGUAGAAGAAGAAUUUGAUUUUUUUUGUGUUCAAAAUGUCAUGCAGAUGAAUGUAUAUAUAGUAGGUUUAUACAUGUUCGCAAUAGGUAUGAGAAUGGGGUGCGUCUGUUGGAAGAUAUCUUUCCCAAAUGUGUGCUUUGCUCAGCAUUCUUUCAUCACUUUCAAAUGAAGUUUGUUGAUAAAAAAAAUUAAUUAAUUAAAGAAUUUAAUUUUUAGAGCCCCAAGGCUCAAGACCCAUCUUUUGAUUAUAUAUAUUAAUUAGUACACCACAAAGUCUAACUCCAAGGUUGAUCCCAAUUUCAUUAUCCAUGGUUCAUCACUUCAAUCACUAUCUAUAAAGAACAAAGCCUUAUAAAGUGAGAGAACCUUUUGGUAGUGACCAAUGUGGGACAAUGAAAUUUCUUCUCAAAAUUUCCAACACUCCGAUCUGCCAGACGCUGCUUUUUCUAGAAAUUUGGUUGGUUAGCUAGUUAAGAGAAGGUGAACUGAGACUCUAAGUUGCACUUGCACAUAUUUUUCCUUAUGUCCCGCAACUUUAAAAUAUUUAUUUUCCGGUACAACGGCGGAGAGGCUAACAACAGGAACAAACAACUACCCGGGAAUGGCCCUGGUCUUUGCCAAACGCACAAUUUACUGAAAGAUGAGUAUGAACUCCUACUCAAAAUUCUUAGUGUUUAAUCGCGAAGCUUUGUGUUUAUGAUCAGAAUCGUUGAUACUAUGAAUCACAUUGUAAAGAUUAUCUCUGCAAAUAUUAAAUUAAAAAUAAGACCGUUUAGUCAAUGUAUUGUAGCAGAUACAUAAACGGUUCAUAAUACUUUUACCACUACCGUUCAUUUGUUUUUAAAUAGUUUGAUGACCAAAUGACCUUAGUUUUAAUUGAUUUUUUGCAAAUGCGAUCUUUAUAUGAUGAUUUAUAAUAUGAACAGUUCUAAUUAUAAACACGAAGUUCCAUAAAUUGACAACAAACAAUUUUGAAAAAUUUUGAGUAGGAGUCCCUAGUCAACUUUAACAAAGUAUUGUUCUUGCCAAACUCAAGGUAUCAAAGCCACCACCACAACAACAACAACAACAACAAAGCAUUUUCCCACUAAGUGGGGUCGGCUAUAUGAAUCCUAGAAUGUCAUUGCGCUCGGUUUUGUGUCAUGUCCUCCGUUAGAUCCAAGUACUCAAGUCUUUUCUUAGGGUCUCUUCCAAAGUUUUCCUAGGUCUUCCUCUACCCCUUCGGCCCUGAACCUCUGUCCCGUAGUCACAUUUUCGAACCGGAGCGUCAGUAGGCCUUCUUUGCACAUGUCCAAACCACCGGAACCGAUUUUCUCUCAUAUUUCCUUCAAUUUUGGCUACUCCUACUUUACCUCGGAUAUCUCAUUCCCAAUCUUAUCUUUCUUUAUCGUGUGCCCAUACAUCCCACGAACGAAGCAUCCUCAUCUCCGCUACACCCAUUUUGUGUACGUGUUGAUGCUUCACCGCCCAACAUUAUGUGCCAUACAACAUCGCUGGCCUUAUUGCCGUCCUAUAAAAUUUUCCCUUGAACUUCAGUGGCCUACGAUGGUCACACAACACGCCGGAUGCACUCUUACACUUCAUCCAUCCAGCUUGUAUUCUAUGGUUGAGAUCUCCAUCUAAUUCUCGUUCGUUCUCUUGCAAGAUAGAUCCUAGGUAGCGAAAACGGUCACUUUUUGUGAUCUUCGCUAGAUUGCUCCGGUCAUUAGUGUGGAUAAGUAUAUAAAUAGAGAUAGAGGAAAGCAAACACAAGAUGUACGUGGUUCACCCAGAUUGGCUACGUCCACGGAAUAGAGAAGAGUUCUCAUUAAUUGUGAAGGGGAGUACAUAGGUUCAAGCUCUCCUUUAGUGAGUACAAGUGAAUGAUUUAGUACAAAUGACAUUAGAAAAUAUUGUGGGAUAAUGAUCUCGUAACCACGAAACUUCUAAGUACCGGAGUGUGGUAUCGUCUUGACUUGCCUUAUCUGUCUCAUAGGUAGAUGUGGCAUCUUCUCUGGAAGUACUCUUCCUCCAUCCAGGGGUGGUAUCUGUAACUGGUGGAGAUGCACAAGGUAAUGUAUCAAUUUCACUUGAAGCUUACUUGUAGUUUCAGGCUUGGUCAAGCGCGAUACAAACCAUGUAGUAGGAGUCCCCCAAGUCGCCGGGCUAGGGGAUCUGCUGAAAGAGGUGAUAGACAAGGUAAGCAAUCAGAGCUCCGGCUGAUUGUUCACAUUCUCCCUAUCUUGCAGGCAGCAUGAAGGAUAAAGAGAAGAAAAAUGAGAAGAGAUGAUAUGGGAUACUUUUGCUUUUGAAGAAGUAACUUUCCACAGGCUUAUUCUUGAACCGGGCUGGGAGGGUUUUCUGGUUUCCUCCAGAGUAAAAGGCCGACUGAAGAAUUUGAGGGUCAAAACAAGUCCAUCAAAUCUAGAGUACGUUUGACCCUGCUGAUAUGGGAUACUUUUUCUUUUGACAGAGUAGUGGAUGUAUCGGCACGUGUGCUGUUACGCUUGUCUCCACAUGCUUCCUUGUAUCCUUCUCACUUGCCCUAUCUGUUCCUCAAGGCAGAUGCGGGUAUCUUCCCUGGAAGCAUAAGAUGUUGAAGAUGAGUACUCGAGAGCAAUGCCAGGUAAGUAAUCAGGUAAGGGGUUCCAGGCAGUCAGUUCCUGGCUGGAAGCUUGAUUCCAAGUGCUGACUGAUUGCUCUCUUUCUCCUUGUCUUGCAGGUUAAGCUGACAGGGAAAAAGCAUGAUAUGGGAUAUACUCUUGCUUUUAACCCUGAUGAUAUGAGAUAUUCUUUGCUCUAGUAUAGCUUGUUUACAGAGGUAUUAUCGGGGGGAAAGAAAGCUGAAUAUUUCGAAAGGCUUCGUUGGGAGUGCCCUCUCAGAUAAGAGAAAGGGUUGAGCAUUUUUGCAGGUCUGCCUGUCCGUUAGGGAUGGAGGUCGACAUAUAUAGGAGUCUCCCUAACAUCAAGUAAUAAUGUUAUUCCUUUACCCUACUUGGUCAUAGCACGGUAGUGGGAGCUGCCAGCUUUACAUGUUUUAACUCUGUCAGAGCACUUUGAAAAAGUGGUCUGUGGUAUCUGGAAAGCUGAUGUUGCGUGUGAAGAUUACAGACAAGCUUUUAUCCAAGGAGAUCCAGCUCUUGAAGUUGGGAAAGUGGUGCCUCUUCGGUUUUCGAACAAGCAAUCAUGUCGGGGAUCUGGCUCUCGAGAUUCGGAGAACGAUGCCUCUUCGAUUUUUGAGAAAACAAUCUUGCUGGGGGUCUGGCUCUCGAGAUUCGGAGAGCAGUGUCUCUUCGAUUUUUGAGAAAGUAAUCAUGUUGGGAGUCUGGCUCUCGAGAUUCGGAGGGCGGUGCCUCUUCGAUUUUGGAGCAAGCAAUCUUGUUGGGAGUGUUUUCUCGAAUGUGAGUAAAGGUUGGGCAUGUUUGCUAGUCUACCUUGCCACGAAGCACAGAGGUUGACACACAGGGACUUUCCAAUUAUCCAGCAAGUGGUACUGUUCCUUUACCCUCUCUUCGAUUUUUGAGAAAGUAAGUCAUGUUGGGAGUCUGGCUCUCGAGAUUCGGAGGGACGGUGCCUCUUCGAUUUUGGAGCAAGCAAUCUUGUUGGGAGUGUUUUCUCGAAUGUGAGUAAAGGUUGGGCAUGUUUGCUAGUCUACCUUGCCACGAAGCACAGAGGUUGACACACAGGGACUUUCCAAUUAUCCAGCAGUGGUACUGUUCCUUUACCCUUGUGGGUAAUAAUAUGGUAGCUAGACCUUCAAAAUUUAUGUGUCUAAACUUUGUUAGUGCUGUUUCUUUGCUAUUCUUUUACCCUUCUUGGUCAGAGCGAUGUAGUGCGGAGCUGCAAGCUUCACGUGUCUCAACUUUGGCAGAGAACUUUGGCAAAGUUAUCUGUGUGGUACCCAUGAGUUAUUGUUGCGUGUGGGAAGUGGGUGAUUGAACAGUACGAUUCAUGUGCUUUCUACUUCGCCAGAAAUCUUCGACAGAAUGCCCAUAAUUUCCGCAAAGCUGAGUGUGCGUGUGACAGGUGCUGACAAGGCUGGAAAAGUAGGUGCCUCUUCGAUUUCUGAGAUCGGCCCUCGUGGUUUCUUAGCAGCCCAGCUUUUGAGAAAGCAAGCCUCUUCGAUUUCUGAGAUCGGCCUUCGUGGUCUUUGAGCAGCCCAGCUUUUGAGAAAGCAAACGCCUCUUCGGUUUCUGAGAUCGACCCUCGUGGUCUCUGAGCAGCCUUGCUUUUGAGAAAGCAAACGCCUCUUCGAUUUCUGAGCAGGCGCCUCUUCGAUUUCUGAAGCUUCGUCGAGUGCAGAUUUUUAUAAGGGCUGACAUUAAGUUCCAAAGCACACUUGAAUAUCCACCAGUAAAAGCUCCAUUCUUGCACUUCUAAGAUCUUGAUUUGUCCGACCUCUUCUCUCUUCAACACCUUUGAAAAUGUCUGGCCCCUCCGACCGUCGUUUUGACUUGAACCUUGUUGAAGAGGCAGCCCCGCCUUCUCCAGACAACAUAUGGCGCCCAUCCUUCGUCUCCCCUACUGGUCCUCGUACCGUUGGGGAUUCCGUGAUGAAGAAUGAUAUGACCGCUGCGGUAGUGGCCAGGAACCUUCUCACUCCCAAAGAUAACAAACUACUUUCCAAACGGUCUGAUGAGUUGGCUGUUAAGGAUUCUCUGGCUCUCAGUGUUCAGUGUACAGGUUCUGUGUCUAAUAUGGCCCAACGCCUAUUUGCUCGAACCCGCCAAGUUGAAUCAUUGGCAGCUGAAGUGAUGAGUCUCAAACAGGAGAUUAGAGGGCUCAAGCAUGAGAAUAAACAGUUGCACCGGCUCGCACAUGACUAUGCUACAAACAUGAAGAGGAAGCUUGACCAGAUGAAGGAAUCUGAUGGUCAGGUUUUACUUGAUCAUCAGAUAUUUGUGGGUUUGUUCCAAAGGCAUUUAUUGCCUUCGUCUUCUGGGGCUGUACCGCGUAAUGAAGCUCCAAAUGAUCAACCUCUGAUGCCUCCUCCUUCUAGGGUUUUGUCCAGUACUGAGGCUCCGAAUGAUCCCCCUCCGGUGCCUUCUCUUUCUGGGGCUCUACCGACUGCUGAGACUUCUCCUAAGCAACCUUUGUGAAUGCUCCUUCUUGUUUAUUUAUUUUGACUCAAGUAUAUGUACAUAUUUGUAACUUAUCGGGGAUAUCAAUAAAUAAGCUUUCCUUCAUUUCAACGUAUUGUGUUAAAUACACCAAAGCCUUCUUCGCUAAGUUCUUUGAAUUUUCUUUUGUUGAAGCUUGUAUGUUGAAGCUUUGUGAGUGGAGCAUGUAGGUUGAGGUAGUGUUCCCUUAAUUUUCCGAGUGAGGAAAACUUCUCGGUUGGAGAAGGUAUCAGAGCCACCAGCGAGUUUAUAAUCUAGUCGACAAUAUAUGAGCUCAACAUGCAGGUGGAUCUCUCAAUAAACAGUGACGGAGUUACACAAUGCGCUCAUGCAACACUAGGUUUUUGGCAAAAAAACCGGCGGCUAUCCGUUCAGAGAGAGUCAUACCUAUUAAUCCCGUGUCUGAAUAGCAAGAACCAAAAUGGUAAUGCAGGCACACAAAAAGAACGAAAAACAAACUCAUUUCCGAACCAAAACUAACAGCAUAACAGCUCUUUUUCUACAUGGUUAAAAAGAGUAAGACGCGUUUGAGGUUUAACAGAACAAACCCAGUUUUUCUUCCUUCAGGAGAUGACACAACUUAGCUUCUAGAUGUAACCAUAAGGACACACACUGCAUAAGUUCCUUCACCUCGUCUAAAACCGAGAUCGCAGGACUCGUUCAAAAUGAAGAAAGACUGUAAGGUAAAUUCAAACCGAGAAUUAUAAUCUAGUCAAAGCUCACAACCCCACAAACUAUGAACAUAUCACAUAAAAGUAAAGCAGAGCUUGAGAAAAACGGGCAUAACAAGACCAAGCUUCUUAGUUUGCACGACUUUUGAUAACAUCGAGACCUAUCUCAGAUGGAUCAGUGGCCUGCAGCUCGACUUGUAUGCCGUCCAAUUCUCUCUUGAACCUGUCCUUGGAGCUUGCAUAAAUCAUCUUGUUUCUCACCCUUGCUGUGUCGGGAGACCUAUGAAUAUGGUAAAGAACAUAAGCAAAAAUGACGGGAAAAAAAAGAGACGCGUUUUUGGGUUAUAAUAGUACCAUCCGACGAAGAAAAUCCUGCUUUUCUGACAGUUCUCUACAGUCACAAAGUCAAAAUCAUAGACAGCAUAUCUGCAUUCAUUAUCAGGAAGGUUUGCAGUAAAGUCUUCAUAGCUUUCAGCUGGCUCACCGAGUUUCUCCACAAUCACCUCAUUUUUCUUCUCGUCAAUCUUGAACACUAUGAAGCGAUAUGUUCUCUUAGCCUUCAAUUCCAGAAACUUCAGCUUGCAGUCAUCAUUCACAGCAAAUCCGGAUGCUGCAUUAGCCUGAUCAUAUGAUGAAACAGAAGAUAGAUGUUAUUCUUAUGCAACUUAUUUCCACAAACCCAACACACACUGGUUUUGAAACAAUAAACAUGUAUUCACUCUCCUACUCAGCCAAAAAAAUUAAGCUCAGAAAUUCUCAAGAAAACAAUUAAUCUGCAAUGUUGUGCCAAAGUAAUCAAACAACGGAAUCAGAUAUUAAAAUGCCACGGUGCCUCUCCUUGAAUGUAAGGGCCCGUUUAAUAACCAAUUUUAAUUCUAUAGAUAGAGAAGUAUGAGGGAGAAAGGAGGAGCAAGGGUGAACAAGGGAUAGUGGAACAAAUGUGUAAUGGCACACAAUGGAAACUGAAAACAAUUUUGAAGUUGUUUUCGCUUUCUAGUUUUGUUUUCAUAUAAUCUCCUUCAUUUCUCCCCCUCCCAUCACCCCUCCCACCACCUCCCUUCAUCCUUUACAUUCCUUAUUUCUCCCGUAUACUCUCCCUCUACUUUAGCACAAAAAAUGACAACUAAGAACUAAAAACGAAAUGGUUAUCAAACGGGCAACAAAGGCUGCAAUUUUUCUGGUCACAAAAGGAAGACAACUUAGAUGCAAUGAUCAUUAUAAAACAUCCGAUGGAGAUCCCAAGAGACUAUUCUAGAUACUUAUUUCAUUUCCGAUCCUUGAGGUUUGGUCAGGCAAUUAAAAUAGGCAGACUGAUUUUGAAAAGAAUUUCAAAGUCUGAAACCUCCUUCCCUCCCAUCCUUCCUUCUCUUUUUUCUCUCCCUCUUUCUCUCCGAUUGUAGACGUUCUGUCUCACCCAAUUUCUUAAAGAGUAGUGCGUAAUGAUACAGGAUUCAACUUGAAUCUUUCAAUUUAAGCAUGUACCAUGCAGGUUGGGCUAUAGAUUAGAUAUCUAAACUAAACAGGAAUGGACCAGCAAUCUGAAACCGAGAAACCAAGAAUGUGCCAGUUUUAGCAUAACAAAUGGCCAAAAAAGGAAUAAGACUACUUGAGGUACAUUUCUUCUUUAGUUUAGCUUCAACCGUAGACCACAGUCUCCUCUGUGAUGCGUCCAAGUUACACACUGUCAAAUCCCAAUUCCAUACACUAUGCACUAGUGCUAUACUUGCAAGAAUAAGAUCAAAUACAAUUCAGCAUCGCAACAUCCGUACGGAAUCAAAUUGGACCCCCGCAAUUAGUUCUGAUCAGUGAUCAGCUGGUUGACACUAUUCCAAUACCGAGCACUUGAAUCCCAACUCUCGAUCAAUUAACAGCUUUCUAAUCAGAUUUAAAUCUCAAUGCAUCUAAAUAUUGACACCCACAUCAACUGUUAGACUAAUGGAAUCGGUACAACGCAACUAUGUUCAAAUUUCACAAUCAACAUGACAGCAUUGCCAGUUUGCCACCAACACCAACACAAUCAGAUUACCAAAAUAUCAAACACAAAACAACACACAAACCCACCACAAAGAACCAAAAAUAAAAAAUAAUCAAAACUCAACAAACGAAGAAUAUAUAUGAAUGUGAUCAAAAUUAUUUUAUGAACCAAAAAUCAAAAGAAAAUUUUAAAACUUUAAGCAAAUAUCUUCAGCUACUGCAAAAUUAAAAUGAUACAAAAACCCAAAUUCAGAUCCACAACAAAUUACAAUCGAUUGAAACAAGUGCAUCUAAAACCCAUCACAGAUGAUAACCCAGAGAUCAAAGAUCAUAACCCAAAACACAUUAAAAAUUAAAAAAAAAAUAAAAAUAAAAACAAAAGCAAUGGGCAGGGAAAGGGAAGCAGGAGAGAGAUGCUGACCAUUGCUGUUGCAGACAAUGAGCUGAGUUGCUUCGACUAUGGCAGACAAUGGAGGACUGAGUGCUCUUCCGGUGUUUUGUGUGUGCUUCGGAGCUGGAGAGCUUCUGCUACGGAGACGGUGGUGGCUGAGGCUUCUCUUUCAUCCGCCUCCCACUUCUCUCUAAAUAGUAAAUAUCAUCAUGGAGGGCAUGCCAUGCGUGACAACGGGGAAAAGAAAAAGUAGGUCUGUCCCUAUCGUGGCUUGACGCGUGUGAGGGAGGUUGCGAAAAGACUGAUAGGCCCUUGGUUUAUGUGGCGUUUCUUCCCACUCGCCCAUCCAGUUGGCAAUUGGAGGGGCUUUUUUAUUGCCGUACUGAAAUGGAAGUUUAUUGAAUCUGUAAUGUUAAGAAGAUUAAAAUUUUAAAUUAAAUUGUAAUGUAAUUAUUGAUGAUUAGAUUAUUAAUUAAGUAUUAGUUAAUAUAGUUAUUAUUUUAUUGGUGACAUCUAAUUUGAUUUGCAAAUUUAGUUUAGAAAUUUGAUCUCUCUAGCAUUAUCCUAAUUGAAUAAAUGAGACCGUAGAAAAGUAUAAAAAUAAUUAAUAAUGUUUUUUUAGUACCUUAGAGAGAAAAGAAAAAAUAAAAUAAAAGAUGUAUUUGUUGCGCCGAACUAUCUUAGAUUGGGUUUGUUUUAGGGACUAAGUUAUAUUAGCUUGACUUGGACUAAGUAAGAUAAAAAUAAUGAACCAUUCGGUGCAAUGUCGUACUAGCUGAGGACAUCUCCAAAGGAGAUGUCAAAAUGUCCAAAUCAGCAAUAACGGUAACAAAUAGAGCAUUAAUGUUUUUCAAUCGAGAAGCCAAAUAUGAUAUGGCAUGACAUGGAUUGAUAUAUCUCCCCCUUGCUGCCAAAUUUAACAGCACCUUCAAAUUUUUUUAAUUAAUUAUUAAAUGCUUUUUAUUCAUUUUUUUUAUUGGUUUAAAUCAUUAUCCUUUUGUUUCUUUCCAUUCCCAAUGCAAAGAAAAUACAUAUAAAUUAUUAUUUUAUGUUUAAAAUUUGACUUAUCAAUUGGAGAUCAAAAGUUUAAAAGAUGUCAAAGUGUCACGUAAGCCUUCAAAUUUAAAUUUUAGGUUUAAAAUUUGACAUCUCCUUUGGUAAAAUAUCCAAAAUAGACGUACCAUUUCUUAAUAGUUUUUCUUUAAAAAAAAAAAAAACUAAAAACAAAAAGCCUCGCAUCCGACGUUUCACUCUCUCUCCCCUCAAAAAUGGUCAUUUUCAAAUGCCAAUUUUGUUAGAGCAACUCCACCAUUGCAAAGGCCCCUAGGACUAUUCAUUAUUUAAUCCAUCAAGUAAACAGUAACUGCCUUAAUCAACAGUAACCGUCUUUUGCAUCUCUACCCCUACACUGAAUAGCCAUCACAAUAUGCAAUAAAAUAAUACAAAAUAAUUUUAUUUGUAAUUUCGAAUAAAAAUUUUAAUCGUUCUCGUUGUGCCACGUGUCAUUAUCCAAAAAGACAAUUAUUGGUGAUGAAUUUUGAUAAGAUUUGUAUCCAAUGUCAUCGUGCCACGUGCCGUUACCUUUUUAAAAUCGUUGAGGAUAGAUUUCCGAUAAGAUUUUUAACCAAAUAUGUCGCGCCACGUAUCACAAUCUGUUUACGAUCUUUGAGAAUAGAUUUCGAUCAGAUUUUUAACGAAUGAUGGCAUGCCACGUGACAUUAUCUACAACCUAAUUCUUUCUAAAUCCUCCAUAUAAUCCACCAUCAAUCCUUAGAAAUCUCACACCAAUUUUCUCAAGAUCUCUAUCAUUAUUCAUAGUUUCUGCUUCAUUCUUCACCAAAAUGUUUGAUUUAGAGUCACUUCGAUCCAUCAUGAUGACGUGCAUCAUUCUCCACAACAUGAUUGUGGAAGAUGAGUAUGAUUAUGAUGCCAUUGAUGAAUAUGAGCCAGACACGAUGAACAAUUCCAGAACACAAAUAUAUUGUGCUCAUGACGUUACCGAAUAACCCAUGCAGCAUGAGCCAUUAGAAAGGGAUGGACGUUACAAUUAAAUGCUCAUUCAACGAUAUACUGUACUUCAAAGGCCAUAUAUGCACAAUGCCCGACAAAUUGACUUGAUAGAGCACCAGUGGAAAUUGAAAUAAGUUCAAGAUACUUAAGUUCAUUUAGUGUGUUUGUUUUUAUUUGGUGUGUUUUUUAAGUUCAUUUAGUGAGUUUUUAAUUAUUUAGUAUGUUUAUGUAAUUUUAUUUGGUGUGUUUAUGUCCUUUGAAUAAAGAUUGUCUUAGUUUAAAUAAAUUACCAAAUUAAAUAAAUAUACUCUUAGUUUAAAUAAAGUACUAUAUUAAAUAAAUAAGAAAUUACAAUCCAAAGUGAUUGGAAAAUUAUGGGCUCUGAUUACAAACAAAGUGAUGGGAAAAUUAUGGGCUCGUGAAUGGAAAAUCAUCACCUAACCAAUUUGUGGUGCUAGGAUCAUCUUCUCAUGUGGUGCUAUGACCAUCUCCUCUUGCUCUUGCUUCUCUUGCACGCCUCCUUUGCACCAAGUCUGCUUUCUCUGAAUUCCAAAAAUAUUUAGAAUUCGGAGACUUCCCUUCUAAAGGUGUGUUCAUAAUGUCACAAUCUCAUUGAGCCCUUAUUCUCUAAUCUCUUCCCUGUCUUGCCUAAGUAGCUCUCUUUCUCUCUCAUUAGCUUGAAAUUCUCUCACAGCAGCUGUAGCUUUUGCCUCCUCUCUAGCCUUAUUAGCCUUAAAUUUAGCCAUUUCUCGCGCCAAAGUCAAUUCACCUUGGCGAGCAAGUUCUUCCAUAUACUUUGCAUAAUCAUUCUUGGAAGCACUCCCUUUUCUCUUUGAAGCCUUCGUACCUUGAGGCCUAAUUGGAUAACGGGUCGACCCCGACGCUUGUUCAGGGAGAGUUUCCGACAUUUGUUCUGGGUCAUCUUUAUGAACAUGCAAGGCAUGAUCGGGCGUAGAAUGUAGAGGGGUGUUAUUCAUGACAACUUCUGGACCAAUAGGCACAAUUCUGAAUUGAGGACAAUCUUUGACAAUAUUCCAACAUUCCCACCGGGUGAUGAUUGCUUUUGGUUUUUGGAUUUGGCAUUAUACCAAGAUUGUGCUAGAAGUGUCUACACAAUGCGGGAGAAUAAAUAAUUAUAAUCAAAGUAGGUAAUAUAAAUAUGGGUAUAGUACAAACAAAUAAAUAAUAUAUUGUUACUUGAUCCGCUAAAUUUUCCCCACUUCGAAGAUUAUAACUAGCUUGUGCCACGUCAUCUCUCCACAUACUAAACGAUUGGCUAAGUAUUCUCUAACGACUGGACAUCGAUUCUUUGGUUCUUUUCCCAUCAAUUUUCUCAAAAUAAUUGGCAUGAAUAAGACUCCACAUUUCUCGUAACUGCAUCUCAUUACCCGUAAUCGGAUCAUUAGUAACUUCAACCCAGCUAGUACACAACGUAACAUCUUCAAUAAGUGUCCAAUUUGUACCUGCAUCAUUAGUCAUUUUGUUGGAAAAAAAAAUUGGAUUUAAACUUUGAGAGAAAGAUAGGAAUGUGGUUGAAACUAGUUGACAAAAUAUGAAAUUGUGGUGUAAGGUAGAAGAUAAUCAGAAUGUAUUUAUAUAAAAGUAAAAUUGUUUUUUUUAAUUUUUCAAUUUUUUUUCGGAUUUUUAUUAAUUUUUUAUUCACAUAAGUAAUCUCUACCAUUGGAUUAAAAAAAAUUUUGAAUUCCAAUUCUCUAGAUUGUGCCACGUGGCACAACGGUAAGAUUUUAGAAUUUAAAACUGUUUUUUCUUUUUUUUUUAAUUUAUAAAGCCGAAUAACGUGGACCGUUGAUUUCAAAUCCAAUGGCUGAAAUUAAAUAAGGUUUUAAUUUUUUUUUUACCGUUGGAAAUCCAACGAUCCAUAAAAUGUUGCCAUUGAAAUCCAACGGACGUGGGGAAGUCACAUGGCCUCCCCAACAGUAACAUUUCAGAAAAACGUCGUGGGCCCCAUGUCUAAAACAGUGUUGGACGACGUGCGCCCAUGCGCAUGCUCUUAGCGCAAAAAAGAGAGAAAACGUGGCUGACGUCAGCCUUGCAUCAUACCCACUUUGGUAAUUGCAGGACAUAAGAGUACAAGAUUUGGUAAUUGGGUUUCCACUUAGUCUCAUUAAUACCUAAAAACAAUCAUUUAACAUAAAAAGAUCAAUUGCGACAUUCGUAUGCGUGUAACAAGAGACUAGUAUAUAUUAAAAGAAAUAUCUUAUGAAAUAUAGAUUGUAAUUUCAUAUUAUAGUAUAUAAAAAGAAUUGUUAUUGGCACUCCAAAUUUUUUAUAUUUAGAAAGAAAAAAAAAUACUCUUAUAAAGAGUAUAAAAUAAGAUAUUUGAAGUGCAAAUAAGAGUUCGUAAAUAAUUUAGUAAUAAUUUGAAGUGCAAAUAUAAAAAAUUUGGAGUGCCAAUAACAAUUUUUUUUAUAUACUCUAAUAUGAAAUUACAAUCUACGUUUCAUAAGAUAUUUCUUUUAAUAUAUACUAGUCUCUUGUUACACGCAUAUCGCAAUUGAUCUUUUUAUGUUAAAUGAUUGUUUUUAGGUUUUAAAUUUAAUUAUUUUUUGUAAUAAAAAAUAUUCCAAAAAAAAAAAAAAAACAGAAGACUACUACGUGGGUUUUCUUUUCAUUUUUUUAAUGUAUAACCUUCAUCUCAAAAUUCAAACUGUCUUGAUUACUAUUUUGUCCCUUAUUAAUUAAGUUGUUUUUUUUUUCAAAAACUUUAAUAAAGGAGGGGCAUUUUGAACGUUUAACCCUUUCAUCCUUCUCACUUUAUAUACAGAGAUUCUUCAAAAUACACCCCAAAUCAUCCUAAUGUUCUUACUUAUUUUCUCGAUCUUCACUUUUACCCUUCAUUAUUGAGCAAAACUGAAAUCACUAAAAGCAAAAACACUUCGAAUAAAAAUAUGUUAACUUGACGAUGAAACAUAAAAUCUGCGUUUUUAGCUCGCCGUUCAUUUUACUAUUAUUCGAAAAAGCACUACUAUGGGUUGUUUAUCAAAGAGAUAAACUUUGAAACAAUUGGAAAGGAAUUUGAAUUCCAGAUACCUAAGUUCAUGUAAUGGUCAUCCAGAAAUCAGAUGAACUACCAAGUUUCUUAUGAUGAAGAAAAUAUACAAAUAAGUACUCUUGAGUUUUCAUAAUUCAAAAAAUAGAUGUGGGGUGUAUUCAAAUAAACUUUAAUUUAAAAAAUAGAUGUAGGUUGUAUUAGGUAUGUGAGGUGUAGCCACCAAAAUAUGGGGUGUGAAUAAAAUAGCUCAAAAAAGGUCACUUAGUACUACGUUUUAGUGAUAUUUCUUUUCAAUUGUAAGUGAAAUGUUUUAUGUUUGAUUCUCGUCAAAGACGAAUUUGAACCUCAUUAUUGCUAGCCUAUUGUGUGACUUAGCCCACUCCUCCAUUUCAUCCCUAAUGUAGAUAAUAUCAUUUUUUCAAAAAAAUAAAAAUAAAAAUCUAUUGCAGGUGGACACUUUAGUGGGUCAACCAAUGAUCGGAAUCCAAUUCUUCAUUAAUCGGAAUCUAGUUCUUGAUUUCCUAGUGUUUAUUAAACAUAUAAUUAUUCACUAAUCGGAAUUCAAUUCUUUAUUUUGAUUCCAAUUAACGGUAGGUAAACAGGUCAUUCCUGGCUUUAUGAAGAGUGAUAAAAUCUAAAAGUUUCAUAAUGUUCAUGCAUGCAAGCAUCCUCUAUUUUAGCUUUUCUUCGAACAAUUUAUUUUCAAAUACACCUUCUUCUGGCGUGCGGAAGGGGAAUGGAAUGAGAGAAAUGAAAAUUGCACCCAUUCUAAGUCAUUCAGUAGCGUGUUUACGUAUCUGUGAUGGGAAUAAAUAUAGGGAAUUGGAUUUCGAUUAUGAAGAAUUCAAAUGUUUACAAAUUUUGAAAGAAUCAAGAGAGUGAUAGAGUUCACACAAAAUAAGGAAUUCAAUUCCUAAAAGUGGAGGAAUUGAACUCCCUAUAUUGAUGAGGUAUUUGAAUUCCAUGAGGGUGAGGGAAUCGGAAAUGCAAGCCUUCUUCCUAUUAUGCCCUCUUAUUAUUUUUAAAAUUUCAAUCUGCAAGCCAUUUCCUUCUAUUUUUCUUCGUUUUUUUUCUUGAUACAAACCAAAGGGCUAGCUGUUUGAUAUAUCAUAUACGCACACAAUAUAUGUAAACAAGAAGAGUGCUGAGGAGGUGGAUGAGGGCAUGUUAAAACAACUAAUUAAAAUGUUAUUAAAAAAACAUAGAUGAAAUAAAACAAAAAAGAACAAGGGCAUUUUAUUAUCAUAUUGAUUUCUAUUCCGAUUUAGGUGAAUUUGUAAACAACUUAUAUGAACUCAGUUUUAUUCCUACUCCGAUUUCAGAAUAUUUAAGUAAACAACUUUAACAAGAAUCUAAUUCUAACUCAUCUUCAAUUCAAUUCCUCCUUAAUUUAAUUCAUCUGAUUUUGAUUAUGGUUAUGUAAAUGAGCCACAAGUAUUUGCAUUUACCAAUACUUGGAGAAUGAAAAUACAUAUAGACCCACCUAAAAUGGAGAAUCAUACUCCUUAAACUUCUAGAAUUGGAUUCUUGAGAUUGGUGUGGUAUUUGAAUUCAGUCUAAUCAUACUUAUCUUCUACUGUCGAACCACUAACACCAAUUUAUACCUAAAAAUUUGUUUAGCAACCUCUAAAACAAAUUUGACAUUCUCCAAAUUUUGAAAUCACCAUAGCUCACCAAAAUUGCAGCGGGAAAUUGAAAAAAAUAAGAAAGCAAAAACCAAAACAAGAACAAAACAAAAACCUUGCUCCCCAUUGGUCAAUCACUUACCACGCGGAUAGCUACCCUGGCGUCCACUACCGUCGAUAAGACCCCCAUCUGACGGUCCCAAUCCUCUAACCAGCUUCUCAAGCCUUCGAUAUCCCCUGGAACAAUAUGAUCCACAAUACAUCCCACUCUAUAAAGCACAUCCUCUUAACUGAUUCCCAAAUCCACUGUCUGAACAUUGGCAAUUCUUUCUCUCCGUUUCCGAUUUGGGUUUUUGAGUCAGAAGGGUGUCUCAGGUUCUCAGUGAAUUUUAGUGCGGUUAGGGUUUGAGAUAUGGAGACUGGUGGUAAGUUGAAGAAAGGUGCCGGAGGAAGGAAGGGCGGCGGUCCGAAGAAGAAGGCGGUGACCCGGUCCGUCAGGGCCGGCCUCCAGUUCCCAGUCGGAAGAAUCGGCCGCUACUUGAAGAAGGGACGGUAUGCGCAAAGAGUCGGGUCUGGAGCUCCGGUUUACUUAGCCGCUGUGCUCGAGUACCUCGCAGCUGAAGUAAGUCUCUUUCUCUAUGACCUCUUUUCUCUCUCUAGAUCCAUAUGUGAGUUUGAUCUUGUUUUGGUAGCUAAGGUUUGAGCUUUGAGUAUCGGGGUUGUGUUUAAUUUUUGUGGUUUAGGGUUUGUGUUAGAUUUCUGCCCGAAAUUUCUGUUUGGUUGCUGAGAAAAUUUCUGAUGUGGGUUUCUUGGUUUUUAUCCAGGUCCUGGAGUUGGCUGGAAAUGCAGCUCGGGACAACAAGAAGAACAGGAUUAUCCCAAGGCAUCUGCUACUGGCCGUGAGGAACGAUGAGGAGCUUGGAAAAUUGCUUGCUGGUGUGACCAUUGCUCACGGCGGUGUGCUUCCAAACAUCAACCCGGUCCUCCUGCCCAAGAAAUCAGAGAAAGCCGCCGGAAAGGAGCCAAAAUCUCCAACCAAGGCAACCAAGUCUCCAAAGAAGGCUUAGGUUCUCUCAGUGAAUCAAUCCCAGCAAAUGUUUAGUCAAAUCCCCACAUGUUUAGAUUUAGUUUGUGACCCCUCCCCAUUUGUAUGUAGUCUGUAUGCAGCAGGUCUUUGUCUUUCGUUUGUUGUAGGAGAAAAGAGAAAUCGAGACUUGAACUUCCAUUGAAUUUGAAAGCAGUUGUAAUCCUUCAAAAUCUUGUGUGAUCUUGUCAUGUUUUAGGAGCUUUGAUUUUCUUGGAAUUCCAUUUAUGAAAUUGAAACCCCUUGUUUCUUUCAUUGCCUCAAGUAGUAGUUUGUUUGAUGAGAUUUGAAGGUUUGGUAAUGAUGCCUUUUGAUGUGAUGUUAUUUGUCAAUUGGUUGCUUUGUGAAUUGUUUGAAGAAAAGGGACCUCUUUUUUGUUUUUAUCAAGCAUAAUCUGCACCCUUUAUCCAAUAUUCCUUUUGCCUUUUAUACCACCUUUCUUUACUGUAAUGACUUGGUAUUAGUUUGGUGUCUACGAUUGGAUUCAAUAACUUAAUACAGUUAAAGAUAUGUUAAAAGAAUAAAUGGAAUAAAUUUUUUUUUGUUUUUUUAAUCUUGGAUUUAAGGUAGUUAAAUUUCUCACGAAGGAAACUUAUUCCAUUCAAUUCUUUGAAAAUGAUGAUUAAGGGCUUGCUUGGUAUGCAGGAUAUGAUUGGAACUAACAAUUCUCUUAUUUUAAGGCAUAUUGAUGGUUGAAAAUGAUUUUUGGUUGAAGGGGAUGAGAAGAGGAAUACAUAUGAAGAAAAUUCAUUCCUUCUAAUUCUAUCAUUUUGGAGAGGAUCUGAAUGGAUAAGUUUUUUUUUUCAUGAGUAAUUCAUCUUCUAAUCUCUUAUUGGUUUUAAGUUUUUCAUUUCUCACCUUAAAAUACCAUAAAAUUAGGAGUUAUCCAUUCCAAUUCAAUCUUAUAUACCAAACGAGCCAUAACUUCCUUCACGUCCUCUAAUCCCUUCAAAAUGAAUGUCAUUUAUCUUGAAAUUGAUGAGUUCAAUCCAAUGAAAUCUUUGGAGCAGACGAGACCUCAGACCUUGGUGUUUUUAGGCAGAAUUGCUCAUUGGAAAUUGGCAUUUGAUGUGUAGAGUUGAGAAAGGAGAAAGGAGAGUAGAAAUUGGAAGUGGGAAACCCUUUUGUUGAUGUGAGUAGUUGAAUCAUUUAAUCCUAUGCGUUCACCUUCUGCACUACAUAUGUGAUUGAUUUGGAUUUGGCUAUGUUCUGUAUCCUUUUUAUCUUUUUUGAGGGUCUGAAAGAAAAAUACCAGUAGACCAAUAAUUAGACAGUAAUGACUAUGUAUUUUGAUAUCUGUUGCACGAAAUUUAUUGUUACCAUUAAAAUUACUAUUUGGUUCUCGGAAAUAAUCACGCCGAAAUAAUUUGGUGAAGCUCUCUUCCUCUUGUGUUCAAUGCAGGAACAUUCUUGCAUAGGAAGAAAUAUCGUUGAAUGGUUUGGUGUUCAUCGAUAUAUAGCGGACACUUGAAAAUGGAUUGCCAGAUGCUAAUUUUGCUACUUUCUUCAAUUUUCAAGAAUUAUAUUGGCUUUUGCUGUUACUUGUAUGUAUGUAGGUAGAGGAUAUGGGAAUGAGCAUAUGAUAGGAAGCAGACCCUAAGAGUCUAUGUCCAUUUUUUUGAGAUGACAUUUUCAUUACAUUCUUUAUCGUAUACGUGAGUGAUUUUUAGCUACUUAUUAAUAUAAUACAUGGAUUGGAAUUUAUAUAAGCUAUGAAGCACGGAUACGGAUGCGGUAAUACGAAUUUGGGAGCAUGAAAAAUAAAAAAAUGGGAAUUUGGUAGCAGCGGGGAUUCGCCAAUUAAAAAGGUUUAAAUAACGCACCCUGUCUCACUUCAAAAUUCAUGUGUAGGACAAAAACAGUGUCGUUUUGUGAGUCAGGGUAGGGACUGCACUUCAUCUUCUAUCCGCAGCUUCUUUGGAAGGCGGAACCACUGAGCGACAGCCGUUCACACAGCCGCUUCAAGCCGCUACCAACCGAACCCAGGCAAACCAGGCGAAUCCGCUCCCGGGGCGCCAAACGGCACCGGUUCAAAGAAUCCGUGCUCAUUUUACUUUCACCCAGCCGGAGGAGCAUCGAGCUUUCAGUCAGCUCAUGACGGAAGCGUUUUGCGGCCAUAUUCCUCCCAAUAGACCGGCGCACGCUAAGGUGAAAUGAGAGGCGCAAAUGGCGUAGUUGGUAUUCUGCGCACGUCUGUCCUGGCCAGGAUUUUAUUGACUCGCCACUCUUGCUCCAAAUUGUUUGUUGCAGGUCUGCCAAAACCUAACCCUUUUGCUUUGAUUUGUUUCUCUUAGAAUUUUAUUUUUCGAUAUUCUCCUCGGUCGAUCUUGUUCUAAGUUAAAAUUCUUUGGUCGAAAUCUUAUUGCCAAUGCAUCAAAUAGCCAAACUCCAAUCCCAUUUCGCUGUAGAUUAGAGUAGUUUAGAAUAUCGCGUUUAUAUAUAGAUUGUUGAUAAAAGAUAUAACCGUGAAAUUUUGGAUUUUAAGUUCUACUGCUUUUGAUAUUGUAAAGAUCAUGGGUUUGGAGACGUGGAUUAUGCCAAUUGGAAAGGGCAUUUUACCCGGCCUUUCACACGCAAGUUCGAAUCUGUAGAUUAGAGCAGUUUAGAAUAUCGGCUUAGAUUUGAAUUGUUGAUAAAAGAUAUAACAACUAAAUUUUGGAUUUUAAAUUUGUUUGAGGCACCGAAGUAGGGGAAACAAGUUCCGACAGCUUUUGAUAUAGUAAUUAUACUGCAGCCUAAGCUAUCUGUAAUAUGCAGGGCUUUCCUGGGAUACAAAUGAACCUGUUCUUAAGGAAGCUUUCGGAAAACAUGGUGAAAUAAUUGAAGGUAGUGUUAAACUCUUUGAGGCUGGCAAUAAUUUCGUAGGUCUUUAUUUUCUUGUAGAUGAUGCAAGGAUACCAAUUAUUUACUUGAGAAUUUAUGUCGAUGUGUUAAACAGUUAAAGUUAUUUGUGAUCAUGUGAGUGGGAAAUCGAGAGGGUAUGGAUUUGUGAAAUUUACCUCUGAAAGUGAAGCCACCAUUGCUCUCAAGGAGAUGGAUGGUCAGGUAGUUUUGUCCAUCAUGAUUAAUUUCUUUGUAAUUUGCAUGUGUCGAAAACUUGAAAUCACCCUACUAGCUACCUUAUUAGGAACACAAAGUAAUAUUAUUGCUCCAUGUUUGUGUUACUUUUCAGGUUCUGGAUGGCAGACAAAUCCGCUUGCAAUUUGCACACAAGGAGUAGUGACAUUGAUCUGAGGUAAAAUUUACUUAGUAGAUAAAAGCUUUUUACGAUUUAAGUGUUUGGUCACACUACUCUGUGCUUUGGUUCUUUCCAUGGAGUUUACUAAUCAAGUUCUGUACCAUAUAAUUUUCGUUGGCUGGAAUUCCUUUUACAGUUGGCUUUGUAUUCAUUCGUUACCAGUUGCUUCCAUAUGCUAGUCAUGCCUUACAUAACAAAUAUCCAUUUUUUCACGGGAAAUAAGUUGCCAAUUUUUCAUGUUGCAUAAACCAGGAAAAUUUAACAUUUUGGGAAGCGUUUUGGGUUAGAAAAAUGAUUUAGCUUCAAAAUUUCUUGCUUCUCAUCGAUGAUAAAGCAGGUUCUAGGCUGAUUUUGGCUUUUCAUAUUUCUGUCUCACAAAUUGCUUCUAUUGACCAUCAAUUGAUGCUGCUAGAAUGAAAACUGGUGGCAGGAUUUAGCUUACAAUUGUCCAAUUGAUAAUGUAUAGCAUAAAGUUGUUUAAUUUGAUUACAAAACAUGCAUGUUCUAAGGGACUACGGAUGGUGGUAGGGAGCAUAGCGUUAACUUGCUCCCAUUUGCUCCCAGGACAUAUUUGUCUUGAACAUAAUAGGUGAGAUCCAGAAAGCUGGUUUUUUGUUUGUUUCGGAGCCUGUAUAAUUUACUUUAGGAUGCUUCCUCUAAGUGGUAAUAUCAUGUCUUGUUGCGUGUUUGAGCAGGUACAGUGGAUUGGAGGGGGCAUGCAGCAUGCCGCAUGCUGUGGUAGGUAGUGGUAACCAGCAAGUCCAAAUUUAAGUUGCCCACAAAUUGUUGUUGUCCAUUGACAAUUCUGUAAAAUUCUGAGUGAUAAUUUUUUCCAGUUAGUGUCGUCAUCUAUGAAAUCAAGAUAUUUGAAGAGAUUUGAUCAAACGUUACGGUGAAACACAUACGUCUCCCGUACCAUAAAGAGACAUUCCAUCAAGUUUAUAUCCCCUCAUGGCGGUUCUUUGAAAUGAUCUGAAUCGAAAACUUGGCUUACGACUGGUUUUGGAUCUUUUGGUACGGCAAGGGUAGCAUGUCCAUGGGGUAGCAGUUGGAUGUUCAUACACAAUGAUAGGGAAAGAACUAAGACCUUCAUGCCCUUCUUGCCCCUGCCCUCCAUUCCAUCUUGGUGUAGUUUUGCAUCCGUACAUAUAUCACAAACUCUGUUGGUUUUUGCUAUAAAAACAGGUCUUAGUUCUGUGAAAAAACAAAAAUGAGAAUAUGCACAAGUUUUUGUUGUUUGUGGGCUUUUGGAGUGAGAAUAUGGAAAUGUUUGUGUUGUUUGUGAGAUUUUGAGGAAACUAAACUUAUCGAGAUCGGUUUAGAGUAUGGGUGGGCACGAUCUGAAUCCAGAUGGGCGAUAACAUAGAAAUAAGGAGGUGGACGGGAAACAUAGAUUGGAUAAAGAAGGGAUCAGAAUAUGGAGCACAAGUAGAUUCGGUCGAAACAUUGGGGACAUAAUGCAGGCCGACGAGCACGCAGAAAAUAAAAGAAGAAAUAGAGAAACAUGAGAUGACCACCGACCCUCUGUUUGGCCAGGGCCAGCGACGGAGAAGGGAGGAAGCUCCAUGAGAUGGCCACCGACCCUGGAUCUGGCCAGGGCCAGCGACAGAGGGAGGAAGAAGUAAACAUCAAACUCUCACAAGGAGAAGGAACUCUAAUGAGCUCUCUCACGAAGGGGAGUAUUUUAAGACUUUUGUACUCUCGUUAAUGCGUAGUGCAAACUAUAUAUAAGAGAAACAAUCAAGAAUAGUAAUCUCAUCGUUUAGCAUAAGCGAAGUUGAAUUCUCAAUCCUUAUUUCUCAAACUCUAUAUCCCUUUUCAAUGCGGAAAAAAAAAGAAAAAAAAAAAGAAAGCAUGGUAAUCUGAUUUGAGUUCAAUCCUAAACCAUUCCAUUUUCGUCGAUUCAACCGGCCAACACUGAAAGCUACAAAGCAUGUGGGCAUGAAGACAUAUUGAACAAGACAAUGACCAAGUUAACUUCCCUCAAGAAUAGGUAUCGUUUUCAUGCCUUCCAGUCUGGGCAACUUCAACAAAAAUCAGCCUCCCGUCAACCAUCUGGACAAAUUAUCAACAAAUUAAGAUUUCAGAAGAGAAAGAGGUCGAAAAAGCACAACAAAACAAGGGAUGCUGGCAAUUUGAUCAACCAAACACACAUUCAGGGAUAAAAGACCAGAAAUGCUUGACAAACUGCAGUCUAUAGCAUCUCUAUCAAUUCAAUUUGACUAAUUUCAAUAUUAAAUUGAAAAACGAAACAAAUUUACAUAAUUUAACAGCAUAAGAACACUUCUGAUACGAGUGAAUUAACCACUUUAAUCUGAAAAAAAUAUGGAUUUGUGAAUUGGGUUUUGUUUUUCCCAUAGGAAGGAAAUUACCCUGCCAUCCAUUGCCUUCAAAGCUUUUUGUGCCUCAACAUCUGACUGGUAAGUAACAAAACCAAAACCUUUUGGUCUAUCAGUUCGACGAUCCAUAAUUAACCUAGCUAAACAAACAAAUCAAAAAAUCACAAAGGAAAAACCAGUCACUAAUUUUCCACAUAUUACGGAGUAAAAAAAAUAAAGAAUUAGAGAAAAUUAAUAUGGAAAAAAAAAAAAAACCUUCUGUAACAUUUCCAAAAGGAGAGAACAAUUUCCUGAGCUGUUCACUGGAAGUGAACGAUGAUAACCCUGAAAAACAAAUCCAGGAAAUCAGAACACAAAAACCCAAAACAUAAAAUUUGAGAGAGAGAGAGAGAGAGAGAGAGAGAGAUUACUGCUGACGAAGAGCUGCGAGCCUAAUCUUUUGGCCAUCUCUGUGUGUUAACCCAAAUCCCGGAUUUCUAUUUAUUUUGAUAAAAAGUAGUGAACGAGCAGUUUUUGUACUUUAAAGCUAAAUUGGGAAUUUAGGGUUCAUCACUUCGAAGUUGUAAAUUAGUAAACUCACUUGUGCCCAGAUGCUAGAUAUUUGUUGAGCUUUAUUGGGCUUUGUUAUUGCUAACCAUCUGGCCCAUAUUCAAAAGGAGUUGAUCCAAUGUCUGCCAUGCCCAAAUUAGUUUGGAGUUAACAUAAAGCAAAAUCUACACAAAAAUGAAUGAACACUUGCAAAUCAAAAUUUACAUCUCCUCGUUUGCAUCUAGGGGUGGGCAUGGGCCGGGGAUAACAUUUUCUAAUAUAGGAACCGGACCUUACCCGGCCCAGUUGAAACGGGCCGGUUCGGGCUGGGUCCACGGGUCCUUUUUUUUUUUUUUGAAAAAAAAUAACUAAAAUUUGCACAGAUUCAGCAGAUUCACUACCAGUACCAGUGCAGACUGCAUUUGUGCAGAUUUUGCACAAAUUCACUCCGAGUCCCUGCAAUGAUUCACAUCCAAUCCAAAUACAAAGUCCAACAUCCAAGUUCAUAGAUUAAUAAUUUGAGGUAACAAAGUGAACAUCUGGGACAUUUCGACGUCAUUGUGAGAUAAGUUUAUUAAUUAUACUUGUUGCAGUUGGUAGAGAUGCUGAACUUGUAAGGGAGGUUAGCUCCACAGCUGGAAUCUAGCACCACUCUUUUCCAGACAGCUGCAAGAGAGAAACGAUAAAAAUAUAUGAGUUACUCUUGACCAUCUGGGAAAUUUACAAUAAAAUUGUAUGAUAAAUGAUAUUUAGGAAAUAGAGGUAUUAUUAAUGAGAAUAAUAUCUUUCCUUUUAUGCUUCUAUUAGGAAUCAGGAUAUACAAAUGCAUAGCCAGACAUCUAUUAUAAUCCUAACAAAUCAAAACUAGUGUAAGAACCUGAAGUUGUAGAGCCAGUUCAAAACAUAUAAACCACAAAGCAAGCAGGUGAUCUAUAUUAAAGAGCACUUUAAGUACAUAAAUCAAGUGAAAAGCCCAAUUGAACGCUAUACAAAAUACCCAAAUCUGGCUCAGGGUGACAAGCAAGUCCAGAAUAAUUGAAAUACGCAUCCCAGAUAAGUAAACAUGUCAUGAUUGUUUUCUUAAUUGAGAGAGAUCAUAAUUGUGAGUUCAACUUCGUUUGUAGCCACUACAAUUUAUAGGCUUCAACAUUCAACCAUUGGAGUUCCUACCUAAUGAGACAUCCUAGAGAAUACAAAACGCUCUUUGCCAGACACAAUGUAUCCUUUAUGUAGACAGACUUCUGGAACCUCAUUAACCCCAAAAACUACAAACUAUAUCUUUAUCAAUAUCCCUAUUUUUCGAAACAUUACAUAAGCAUGUUAAACUUCAUAGGUGAAAGUGUUUAUGAGAUUCUUGAGAGCAAAAGCAUGGUUUCCAAUGGAUAGUUUUCAUUUCUUCAGUAGUGGUCACACUAUCUAGUAUCUAAUUUUCUUAACAACUUAGAAGGCAUCAAAGCUUGCCAAAAUAAUUCUCUGAGGAUCAUGGUUAUAAAAUUUCUAACUCAUAGUACUUCUGAAACCAUCUCUUCCUCUAAAUUUUUACAUAAAAAAAUUGAAACAAAAAGGGAAAGAAAAAAAGUUGGCAUCUCUUCCCAAAUCCCAAUUUCUCACAGCCCUAGCACAAUUCAACAAACCAGUGAAGCUCAGCUAGCCUCAAAUUUACCAGCUAUAGUUGCACUUCAUAGUCUAGUAUGGACCAGAAAACUCAUGAUCCAUCAAAUGGCAGGAAUUCAAUAUAGCCAAACCAACACAAAUCGCCUUAGAUUGUCUAGACCGGUUACCAGGAGGAUUUCGUAGCGUCCAAAUUGGAACCAAAAACAAACAAUCUGACCUGAUUUAUUCAUCAUAUUAACAAAGUUAUUGCUGCAUAUGUACUGCAAACAGGAAUUCUAAUAGUCCAAACAUUCAGAUUAUUAAAGGCCCUCUGGGUUCUCAGAAGCAAAUAAAUCAAUCAUCAAUUCAAUCAUCAACAGUAACCUAGUUCGAAAACCCUAAAAUCCCUACACCCAAAAUUCAAAUUAAUAACAAAACCCUAAUUCAAAAUUACCUAAAUUUUAGAGGGAUGAUGGAUGGUACCAGUGUCCUCGACGACGAUGAUGGGGUGAUGGUGGUCGCGACGGUGGGGGUGCUGUCAAAGAGGAGAGAAUCCACGGCGGGGCUAGUGGGGUGAUGGCCUGGGUUCUAUGGGAUGUCGUCGAGGAGGAUGAUGGGUGAUGCCGUUGUGUUCGUCGCGACAGUGGUGAUGUCGUCGAGGAGAAUCGACGGCUGGUGAGAACUGUGAGGAGGAGAACGAUUGGAGUCGAGGGACUGAGAGUCUGAGAGCGAGAGUGAUUCUGGAACCCGGGAGGAUUUGGCAAGGGUUAAAACUAACGGUUGAGGUUGGAUGAUAAGUUAUCAUUUAAUCUUGACCGUUCAUUAUAAUUAGAAAUGGGUCGGUUUGGGUACCGUUUGUUUUAAUUAGAGUAAAUUGUAACAAUGGUCCCUCAACUUCAAUCAACUUGGAGCAAUGGUCCCUCAACUAAAAAUUCAUUACCAUUGGUCUCUCAACUUAUCAAAAUGUGUAGUUAUAGUCAUUUUCAUCAAUUUCGUCAAAAUUUUGUCAAAAUAAGUUAUGUUGGAAUAACCAUUUAUAUAAUUAGGGUCCCUUAACUCAUCAAAGUGUGUAAUUAUGGUCAUUUUCGUCAACUACGUAAUUUUUUUUGUCAAAACGAGUUAUGUUGGAAGGACCAUUACUACAAUUGGGUUAAAAUUAAGGGAUCAUUUCUCCAGUUGAAUUAAAGUUGAGGGGCCAAUGGUAAUGAAUUUUUAGUUGAGGGACCAUAGCUGCAAGUUUUGAUAAGUUGAGGGACCAUUGCUUUAAUUGAGUUAAAGUUAAGGGACCAUCGCAACAAUUUACUCUUUUAAUUAUAAGAAACCGGCCCAGACCGUUUUCUUUCUACAAUUUUUUAGAACCGGCCCUACCUGCCCCGAACCUAGAUUACCUGUCCUGACCUGCGGUUUCUCUACCUGUUUGCCCACCCCUAUUUGCAUCUAUGCAUUAGAGCAAAGCUAAAAUUUUAUGUAUAUGAUCUCCAAUCUUGGAGAUGCUCUUAAGCCUCUUAGUUCUCACCUAAACCCAAGCAAGGGACUUCAUAUCUCGCUUACAAGUAUAGUAUACAUUGUCACAUCCCGGCUCGGGAUGGACCACUUCCCGGGCCCGCUCCACCACCAUAGCACGAUAUUGUCCGUUUUGGGCUUACCAUUCCCUCACGGUUUUGUUUUUGGGAACUCACGAGCAACUUCCCAGUGGGUCACCCAUCCUGGGAGUGCUCUGGCCUCCUUCUUGCUUAACUUCGGAGUUCCUACGGAACCCGAAGCCAGUGAGCUCCCAAAAUGCCUCGUGCUAGGUAGGGAUGAGAAUAUACAUUUAAGGAUCACUCCUCUGGGCGAUAUGGGAUGUCACAUACAUUCAUAUAUUUAUUACUUUAGUUAAGGUAGAAUGUUUUGCAGAUAUAUUUAUGUUAGUUUAUUAGUUUUUUUUUGUUACAAGAUAUUAAUUAGAUUUUUUAGAGUUGAAAAAUGCAUAAUAUUAGAUGAUUUUAAUUGAUUAUUAAUUUUUUUUAGAAAAUAUAAAAUGGAUAUAAAAAAAAAUAACUUAACUCACUUUUAAAAAUCAUCUAUGUUUUUGGACCUGGGCCUAAAAGCCUCUAAAAUUUAUAUAGUAAAAUAUGUUAUCCGCCAAGGCGGAUGUAAAGAUGCAUAUAUCCUUCUCAAGGGGGGAUGCAAUAAUCAUCAUUUUUCAUAAGGGUCGAUGAUAUUCCACCCUUUUUGCCCAUCUUAUAUAAGGAUAUAUCAUUUUUUAUAAUGAUAUAUUUAUACUAAGGGUGUUACUGAAAUAAACUGGUAUUCAAUUCGUGAGAUUCAAAUUUAAAAACUCUUACUUACAAAUAAUAAAAUAUCACUAUAGAAUAGUUAAAUUUUUAUUUAAAAAAUUAGUUUGAUUUUUCAAAUCUUUUAUUAAUGGGCACGAUUAUAAAGAAUUUAUGUUUAAAGAUCCGUUGAGAAGUUAUUGCAACCUAAAACAAUUAGAUGUCUAAUAUAUUUUGGUUAAGGAAUUGAACACUCACAUUCAACAAUCAUUUUUUUUUUUAUGUGGAGUACAUUACAUUUAUAAUUCUACCACAAAGGGGCACUAGCCAUAAGGCAAAUACAAAUACAGAAAUACACACACCAACAACAUAUACAACAAACUCACGAUGAGUUGUCGCAACUUAUUCCGACUCUGAAAGAGUUAAAUUGCAAAAAAAACUUAAAACAAGGCCCUACAACAUCCAUAAUGUGAAGUUACACUUAAUACACAGACUUAGUGUCUCCAACAUAAUCGGCCAAAAUAUUAUAAUUUCUUUUGCGCUUCUUAAGGAAGUUCUUGAACCAAUACGUCGAAAGUUUUGGGUGCCUUUUCCGUCCAUUGUCAUAAUCCACAUAGUUGAUACCAAAUCGAACUGUAUACCCUUCGCUCCAUUCAAAGUUGUCUAAAAUUGACCAUGCAAAGUAUCCUUUCACAUUACUUCCCUUCCUGCACCCCAAAAAAAAUUAAGGAAAACUAAUGAAAAUGGUUUGAAAACUUUGAGUUUUAAUAAUAAGGACAAAAUAAAGGGUAAAGUGAAUAGUACCAGAAUUGAUUUUUUAGUGUAAAAAUGUGGUUUUUGUUAAAAUGAAUAGUACCGAAAGCUUUUCGUUAAAGUUCCCAAAAAAUUAAUGAUUUGGCAUCAAUGUGAUUACUAAAUAACCAAAAAGCAAUAUAGUUUUAAUUACUUUGUCAACAACACUUACUUGAUUGCUGCUUGAAGGUAACAGAGAUGGUGAUUGUAGUAGUCAGUUCUAUUGGUGUCAUGAAGAGCAUCCUCUAGUGAUAAGGUUGAAUUAUUGACCUCGUCAAUGCCUGCAAUAAAAUUCAUUACAAUACAUAUUUAGUAUUCUCUUUUAUCUAAAAAAGAGAGAUGAUUGGUUUUAUAUUUAGAUUUGGCAGCACUUAACUGUAUUUUACAUCAAUUUAUACAUAUAUAAAAAAUGAUAAGUGAAAUAAUUAAGUUAGGUGUAAAAGUGUUAAUUACCAUUCUCAGUAAUGUAAAUGAUUGGAUCACCAUACUUAUUCUUCGUGUAGAGUACAAAAUCAUGAAUUCCUUUUGGAUAAACAUAUAACCAGUUUGAAGCAGCCUGUAAUACCAUAUUUGAGAUUUAUAAAAGUUGUAUAAAUUAAUCCUCCAAAUAUGAAUAACUUGACCUAAAAUUUGAUGUGUACCUGAGGACCAAUAGGAACGCCAUCAAGUUCAGCUGCCACAACAUAUAUAUGAAUGUGAUCAAUAGUAGAAUCUAAUAAUACUGACGUAUGAUUAAUUAGCCGAUAAAAUUUUUGAAUUUGUACUCACUUAGUAAAGUAACAUGUGGAUCAUAUAAGUAACUUGCAGGUUCAGAAUAAUUCUUAGGUACAUCAGCUGCAUAUCUAGCAGAAUAAUAGUUCAGUCCAAUAAAGUCAAAAGACCCAAUUAACAUCUUUGAUUCUUCAUCUGUGAAUUUGGGUAAUCGUUCUCUAACGAGGCCUUGCAUGCUGUAUGGGUAGUCACCUCUUGUAAUUGGAUCCAUAAACCUAUAAAAAUGUGAAACUUCCAAACAUGAACUUAUAGUAUGCAUACUAUACCAGUCACGGCUGGCUAGCUAGCUAAUCAACAUUAUAAGUCAUAAAUAGGGCGAUCUCAAACCAACAAAACUCCUUGUUUUGCAAGGAUCGGGAGGGGUGAGGAACGUUUAUCGUACGCAACCUUACCCUUAAUUUGCAAAUAGACUAUUUCCACAACUCAAACCUGUAACCUUUCGGUCACAAAUGAGCGACAUUUCUGUUGCACCAAGGUUUACCCUAUUUACGAGUCAUAAAUAAAUAAAAAGAAAUAGUAAUGCUAUUCAUACCAUGUUUUUAUACCACAUUUUUAUACUACCUUAAGUGGUAUAUGAUACGGACAAUAUCGUGCUACGGCAGUGGAGCGGGCCCGGGAUGUGAUGGACCCCGGGUCGGGAAAAUAAAAAAAAAGAAAAGAAAAGAAAAAAAGAAAAAAAGAAGGAAAAAAAGAAAAAAAAAAGAAGAAAAAAAACCACAUCAUUUGAAAAAUUUGCAAAACCCAAGGAAAUGAAGGAGAAAGACUUCUCGUAUACCACAAUCAUCGUUUGAUUAAUUAGUUUUUCUUAAUUAUUAGUUUAUUAAAUAAUGAACUAAAUUUAAAAAUCUGAUUAAUUCAAAUGAUGUGGUUGUCCACAUCAAAUACCACCUAAGGUGGUAUGAAAAUAUGGUACAAAAACAUGGUAUGAAUAACAUUACUAAAAAAGAAAUCAAUUGCACUUGCCAUCCGAACAUAAAAUCCAAAGCUCGAUAUGAAGCAUCCAUAUCUUCCUUUGCUUCUGAAGCAGGCUCAAACCAGUGCGACACUAGUGUUAUUCCUAUCACCCCAUUCUGAUAUGCCUACAAAGAAAAUUCAGAAAAUUAUUUGAUUUAGUGCCCUACAAAGUCCAAACUUUGUUUACCUCGCUAUACAAAAUGUUUCCUAGCACACCAAUAUUCAGACAAAAACAGGAACUAGCUAGCUAGUUAAUUAAUUGUACCUGAAAAUUUUCUUUGUACACUUUUACAGCAGCUGCAUGAGCAAGAAGUUGGUGGUGUGUGACUAAAUAGGGUUCGAUAGCUGAAUCUCCACCGAGGCAGGUUGGGUCUUGCCAAGCAGAGCAUCGUCCGGGUGCGUGGAUCCCAAUUGUAUAAGCAUGGUUGCUAAAGGUAUAUGGCUCAUUCAACGUGAUCCAGUGCUUCACUCGGUCACCAAAAAGUGAAAAACAAAGUUCUGCGUAGUCUUUAAAGUCAUCGCUGUGUGUACAUUUCAAACGCUUUUGUUAGAUAUAUAUAGAACGUACGUUUUAGUUAAACAAAUGAUCAAUAUUAUACAUAAGAUAAACUUUGUUGACUUACGCAAUACGAGGGCUUAAGAAACCACCAUAUGCAUCUUCUAAAGCUUGAGGAACAUCCCAGUGAAAGAGUGUCACAAAUGGUUGUAGGCCUAUAUAUAACAUUACCAGUAGAAAGAAGAUUAAAAGUUCGAUUCAGUUAAACUGUAAUUAUAUAUUAUGUAAUGGGCGGAUAUAUGAGAUUAGGUAGCUUUAUCACCAUGGAGAAGGAGUUCAUUGAUGAGAUUGUCGUAAUAUUCAAUUCCUUUCCUGUUAACACCCCCACUUAGCGUUCCAUCUAGUAAAUAGAACAAGAUAAUCAAAUUAGUUAAUGCCUAAUUAAUUCAGGUUAGUCCAUGAAGUAAUUGGUCCCAAAUCAAAUAUAUGAACGCUGAUGAUCAACAUUACUUGGUAACAAUCUGGACCACGAGAUAGAGAACCUAUAAGCAUCGAACUUCAUAUCCUUCAUAAUUGCUACAUCUUUCUGUAAUGACAAGAAAGAAAUACAUAAUACAAGAAAGAAGCUAAAUAUUAAUUGACCAUCUCAUGUUCAAUGUGCCCUUCAACUUCAAAGUAUGAAAGGUUUGGAGAAUUAAUAAUAUUAUUCCUUGAUAGAUAACCUUAUAGAGGUGGUAUUGAUCAAUGGCGACAUCUCCAUUGCUGCGAUCAGUGAUUUUUUCUGUAAAUAACCAUAGAAGUUUUUUUUAUUAUUUAAAGCAUAAAGAUGGUAGAAAUCAUACAGUACGAACUAUUAUGUCCAUACAUGUAUAGUCCAUAUCUUAACAUAUGCAUAUAUACUACAUGCCCAAUGGUAGUUGAUGAUGGUAUGCAGAAGACUAUACCUGGAUGGUUGUGGGUGAAGGUGUCCCAUAUGCUUGGUCCUCUACCAUCUUCGUUCCAUGCACCUUCUACCUGAAAUGUGCAUACAUACAUUUAAACUGAAGAUGUCAAUAUUCAUGCUUGAUUAUAUAUAUGCUAGUUUUCUGACAUUGAAAUAAAAUUAAACCUAAGUGAUUAUAUGAAGGGAAAUUAAAUGGCUAAGCUCUAGUAAAGACUGACCUGGUAAGAUGCUGAAGCUGCGCCAAAGACGAACCCUGGUUUAAGAGCAUCAAAUUUUCCCCUGUCAAGAGAGUUACAGACAAUGGGCCGAUAUGGCUUAGCAGCUUUGGUGUUUGUCAAUGCAAAGCCAGUGAGUAGCAACACAAACAAGAGCAAAGAUCCUAACUCAUGCAUCGCCAUAGUUAACUGGAGGGGGUUUGGUGAUCGAGAUAGCUAGGUUGGUUCUUCCCUGCAUAUUGCAUGGGGUUUAUAUAGAGGGGCUACGUACUACGUCUACAUAUGAAAAUAAUUGAUAAGCAUUUACUUACUAAAAUUUGAUAAACUCGGGCAGGCUUUAAAAAAGUGUGGACCACUUUAAAAGACCAAAGCAAAUACUUUUUGUAACAAUAAUAGUGUUGGGAUAAUACACUUAUACAUACAUACAUUAUAUAUAUAUAUAUAUAUAUAACUUGAAAUUUUGGUGGAUUGAUAUGCAAUAUAUACCAAGGAAUGGAUUUAAUUCUUCUAAACUAAAGUAGAUAGAAAUAUUCAAAAAAGGAAAAAAAUUAGAAGAAAAAUUAAAAAGUGGAGAAACGCACCUCAAGAUAAUAUUCGAUAUCAGACUUUUUUCCUUUAUACUGUUAAUCCAAUUGGGACCGUACUCCAAUAGCAAGCGGUGGCGAAGCAUGCAUGCAUGCAUGCAAAGGACCAGAAAUGUUCAAGUGUUGAUAAAGCCCUUCAACAAUACAAUAGAUUUUUCAAUGUGAUCGGUACACAAGGUGGAACAUUACGUAUCACUGUAAAAAUUAUAUGAUAUGUAUGUUAAAAAGUUAAUAACUUAAAAAAUGAAAUUUUCCACCACUUUUAUUAUAACACGUGAUGUACCACUUGUGUUCCCGUUAUAAUUAAGAAUUUCUCCAACAAUAUUCUGGAACGUAGCCAUCGAUCAUUCUCUUCGUGCCAAAUGUUUGCUAGAAUAUGUUAACACACUCAACACCCAGUUACCUUAACUCGCAAAGAACUAUAUAUGCCCAUGAUGAAUGCUUCCUUAAUCAAAUCACCCCACGAAUAAUUAAUAGUUUUAACCUUUCAUAUCAGUUUAGAAGUUUUAGAAUUGAUUGACAAAAAAAAAAGGUUUUAGAAUUGAAUUACCAGUAAUAUUUCUAAAUCUUAAACUGCAACUUGAAUAUUGAUUUUUUCCCAUUUCAAUUGAAUGCUUCGAUCCGUCAAAUGUGGCUUGGCUUUCUGUUCUUUAUAUUCCAAACUUAGGUCUGUAUAUGUUUUUUUUUUUUUUAUAAUCUUUAUCGUGUAAUAACUUAUGUGUUGUGAUUGGAAGUAAUUUUUUGUUGAUUGUUUUAGUAUUUUAUUCAUACCGUUUAUUUAGGAGAAGGAUUUGCAGAAAUCGGCAGUGUCUCAAAGCAAUCAUGCAAUUACAUGUAUAAAGUUAAAACGUGGCUUGCUGGGUUGAUUAGAAUACGUCAAUUUCAUUGUGAAGAUCUUUGCUGGUAACCACCAUAUGUUGACGUGUUAUUGUAGUAAAAACUGGAGUGCUUGAUUUACUCUGGAACGGAUCGACGGAGUGAGUAAGCAGAUUCACUAUUCCCGAGAGGUAGAAAAAAUGGUCUCACGGCCACUACUAGCAUAGCAUGUAAGUUGAAAAUCAUAGUACGCGUAACAAACUAUGAAUCUAUGAAUAUUAUUUAAUUAACUCAAAAUUAAAGAAAAGAUUGCUGAAAUAGCUACAAACUAAGGAAUAUAUUUGGUUGACUCACUUCUGAUAGAGUUACAAAAUCUGUUUAUAAUAAUUGAAACCCUAUAAAACCUAAUACUUGAAGUAUCUAAACUACCCAAUGAAUGAAAUAAAUAAAAAAUACUAAUAUUUUUCAACACCCCACAUCAAACUCAUGAUGCUAAUUAAACGAUAUGAGUUUGCCAACAAACAGAUGCGAAUGUAAACUCUGUUUGGCGAACAAUGAGGCCUGCAUAUUAUGUUUGGUGCUCUUCAACAAAUAGAUUUUGUAAGGGGGACAUACUUUGCAGCAUAUUGCCCAAAUAGGAGUAUAGAAAUAAAAACAUAUGAAUGCUCCCCCGUACUUAAUGAACGAGAUUCUUAUAUCACAAAUACAACAGCGAACAAACAUAAAAUCAUUUUGUCACCACGUGUGUGUAUAUAUAUAUAUAAUCUAGGGAGCUUUAAUAAAAAGGGCUUGGAUCAACAAAUAUUUAACCAAAAACCAUCCAAAAAUAUUAUUUAACCAAAAGGACUCAAAGUUUAAUAAAAAACCUUCUUCUCACCCUUCUCUGGCUUAAGCGGUGCAAGCUCCGCGCAGCACUUGGGUUUUUUCAACUUCUCCAACAAUGGCAACCCCUACAACAACAUCUUCGAUGUCGACUUUGAUGUCUUCGAAAACCAAGGGUUCCAGGAUCCUGAUGACAACCAUGUUGGUUUGGACAUCAUUCCCUUACCUCUAAUGCUUCGAGCACCGCAGGGUUUGUUUGUUGACUUUUUUUCUGACGGUUUUGUUGAUGGGUUUGACGGUGUAGGAGUCGAUCGUUCGCCUCAGAGCUUUGGGUUUGGCCAUGGCGGAGAUUCUAGAGGCUCAUCGCCCAAACCAGACACGCAGAAUUUGGAAUUUGGAAUUGGAAGAAGAAAUGUAGGAUACUUCGUUGAGGGGUUGGAUUGUAGAAUCCUAGGAUGGACGCAUCUACAGAGGACAAUAGCUCCUUUAUUAUAGAGGACUUUUUCUUCUAUAUAUUGACUGGGGUUUGUUCGUUGAUUUUUUUAGCAUGAAAUUGUUUCGACUCCUGAAACUGUGAGGUUGGACUUGAAAUUUCUAUUGUCUUGGUUUCCCACUUGGUGCAGUUUGUUGAGUCACUCAUCCCUUAACAUUGUUGAACUAGGCAAAAAAAAGAACCAAAACAUAAAACUGUUUUUAGAGAACCCAAAACAUAAAACUGUUUCUGGAAAAAAAAUCAGAUACAGUGUUUGUUUUGUCUGUGCACAAACAAAUAUUGUAUCUGGAAAGAAAAGAACCAAAAUCCAGAAACAGUGACUUAAAUUUCAGAAACAGUGACUUAAAUUCCAAAAACAGUCUAUGUUUUAACCUUUGACUGUUUAUUUUCUUUCAUGCAUCAGUUGAUUAUAUUUAAGAAACAAGAUGCUUAAUUUGCUUUGAAUCCAAAAACAGUGAAUUUCACUAUUUCUUUUGUAGCUUACAUUUAAGAAACAAUGUGUCUAUUUCAUUUGGAUCCAGAAACAGUGAUUUAGAUUCCAAAAACAGUAACUUAGGUUCCAAAAACAGUGACUUAGAUUUCAGAAACAGUAACUUAGGUUCCAGAAACAAUGACUUAGAUUCCAGAAACAAUGUUACUUAAAAUCCAGAGACAAUUUAUUUUUACAAUCUAGAAACAGUGACCCGUCGUUAUUAUUGAAUAGCAUGCAGAUCUCAAAUUUAUUUUCUAGAGAAACAAACGAUAAACUCCACUAAUGAAGAAAAAAUGAAAAACAGUACCUCGAAUACACUAUGAAUAAUAACGACGAUCACAUUUCAACGAAAUAAUACAAAAUAUAAAUUAAAUAGCAUGAGGAUCUAUAUUUUUGUUUCAAAAAAUAAAAAAGAAGGUCUGCAAAACAACGAUGAACUCCAUUAACAACGAAAAUCUGGAACUCAACCUAAAAAAGUUAAGGGUAAAAUGGACAAAUCAUAAUUUAUUAUAGUUGUGCCAUUUUUAGUUAGACUACAUUAAUAUGAGAAUUGUACUAAUCAUUAAACAAAACUUAUAACAUGAUUUUUUAUUAAAACUAAAACUUUUCAAGCCUUUUUUAUAAGUUUUCCUUAAAAUGUAACAACUAUCAUUAGAGUGGUCACCAAUUCAAGCACUUGAACGGUUGUUGUGAUGGACAAUAACAACAUACUCUAUAUACAGGCCCAACAACAUCAACCCUUAUCAUGUCACCCUUAUCGGCCCCAAUAACAACAAAUACUUUUUCUCAACAAAACCUUUUCUUAUCCCUUUUCUGUUUUUUCUUUUGUGCGAACGUAUGGAGUGGACUCAAUGCAGAUAAUGUUGAAAUACAGUAGUGGGUACAAAUGAGGUGUGGCAACAUGCCUGGUGGGUGUGACAACGCAACAACGAAUUCAUGGAUUCAUAAGGUCACGAUGUUGGUGGUCAGAUCGCGAUACAUGUGUGGGUUUGGUCAGUAACAAUGACUAAAGUGGUUUGAUGCGAUUUCGUUAUGUGGUAUAUCAACAAGCGGUAAUGGUAACGUUCGGAAUGGAUUUGUAUCAACGGUCAGUGGGUUCUAGGCCGCGUGACAUAGUUGGUGACAGAUCUAGUACGAGUGCGGGUCAACAUUGCAACAACAUCAUACCAGAGCACAGUACCGACAAUGAGUUCGUUGAUCAGCGGAGGGUCGAGUGCAAUAUAUACCUUAGAAAACCUAAUACUUAAAUUAACUAAAAUACCGUAACAAUAAAAUUACCUAAUAUGAUAAUAUUCUCCAAAAAUGUUUCUCUUACUAUCUAUUUGUAUUAUUUCUCUAAUAGAGAUGGACCCACAUAUGUUCGCAAGCCUUACCUCUAUUAGAUAGAUGAUACAAAUGAUGAUACAAAUAGAUGGUAAGUGUACCAUCAACAUUGUAUUCUUGAAACCCUAUCGGGACUUGAGCAACUUUAAUAUUAUGGCUAAUUACAUUUUGCACCUUCCAUGUUAAUGAGCCAAAUAUAUCUUGUACAACUGUUAAAUAGUUAGUUACACGUGUAUAAACUUAGUUGUAGUUGUUAGGGUCUCAAUUGUAAUUAAAAACACAUGUAUGUGUGUGUGUGUGUGUGUAUUGAACUUAUUACAUUGAGUGAAAGAAAGAUAUUUUGCAAGCUGAGCUUCUUUACAUGCUAAGUUACUUUACAGGUUUGAUGUGAUUUUCAAAAUUGACCAUGAGGUUUCAACUUUCUCAUAUUUUCAUGAUUUUUAAAAUUGUAUUAAAUUCAGCGAACUGUUAUUAGUACUUCAAAAAUCUCAUUAUACACUCAUCAUAAGUGUUGUUUUCUUUCUAAUUAUAGAAAAUUUGGAGUGCCAAAUGAGAUUUUUGAAGUGGUAAUAGCAAUUUCCUAAAUUUUAAAUUUAUACCUUUUCUCUCUUUGAUUGUCUAAUCCUUCAUAAAAUUAAUAUUUUUUUUUUUUUUGCUAACUUGGCAUGCAAAUGUAUCUUACAAGUUAGCCCAUACAAUAAAUUUGACCAAGUGCACAAAUUAAUACAAUUUCACUAUCUUAGAGUGUAAUAUGUGAGAGUUACAAUUUAUUGAUCUAUUUUGAAGAUGAGCCCAUACAUGGAGAGUGUAAAAUGUAGAUAUCCCUUAUUAUUAAGACAUAAAUGAUGUACCAGAAAUAGAAAUUUCUUCUCUUUUUCCUUUUUUAAAGCAUCCAAACCCCACCGCAAGUCACAAAGUCACAAUCCUAGCCGCUUACACAAGCCCAGAAAAAGAAAGGAUGGGAUUCCAUUUUUUCAUGACAGCUUUGGUGAGGACUACGACUCAUCAACUUUAUAAAAAGAGUCUUUACCAGGAAAAAAAAAGGACAAGGGAAAUAGAGGCUGACCUAAAAAAAAGGGAAAGAGAGGGCCUCAGCUUCUUUGCAUGCAUUUCACACAUGAAGUGAUAGAACUGACAUGCACGUUGCAGAAAAAUGUGUGGUGGCUAGUGAUUAGGGGCUCGUACGUGGUGACUCGAAUGGAGAAGGAGGCAGAUUCUUUGCUCUUCUAUUUUUCGUAUUUUUUCAUGCUCUCAUGUUUUAUGUGGUCACAAUUAAGCUACAUCUAUUACUCUUAUAAGGUUAUACAAUUAAAACACAAUAUGAAGGAGUGACUGACCUGAUUCUAACGAUGGUCAUGGAUAUCAAACACGAAAACAAACAGAGUACGGCAACACCAAGAUCUUCUAUAAACUUCUAGCCGAAUACAACUACUCUAUGGGAAGCAUUAUGUUGUGUUCUAGGGCUUAUAGGGACCGGUGUUUUAUAUAGGCUAAAAGCUAGGGUUUCCAUCUAUAAAGGAAACCUAAAUUUUACUUCUUAGCCUCCAAGUCAAGUAUCAUAAUCAUAUUCAAUUAAGGAUUCCAUCAAUCCUAUUUCCAAUAUAAGACACCUUAUAUAGGAUUGAUAUCUUUAAGAGAUCAAAUCACAAUCAACAUUAUUCUCCAAUAUUACAUUCCUAUUACAUGUAGUAGGCCACUUAAAUGUCGAUUUAUAUUGGAUAAAUCCAACAUUCUCCCACUUGGUCUACAAAAUGUAAUAUUCAUUUUUAUACUUGAGAUUGGAGACUAAUGUCACUUUAGUGGCCAUGUAACAGUGAUUACAUCUCGUCCUUAAUGCAAUUUCUGUCAAAUGCAUUUCUUAACAUGAAACUAACAAGGUUGUAGGGUUGACACAACCCAGAACCUUCAUAAUCACACAUGCUAAGAUCCUCAUUCACAUGAAACACAAAUUAUGAUCAAGAGAUGAAACUUUAAAUUAAAUUUUAAAUUAACCAAAAUGUCUUACUUUAUAUCAUCUCAGGUCCACCUUAUUGUAACUCACAAGUUACACUUUAUACUUCUUCGAAGCCUUAAAUCUGCCAAUGCAGAUAUCCUUCAUCUAAUGAAGCCACCAUAACCUGCAAGUGUGAAUACAUUUCCAAAACAAUCAUGCAUCACUUUCAUUAGAUCAGUAAUAAUACAAACAAUGUUUGUAGCCAAUGGACACAACUAAAAGUACCAAAUAGGCACAUGUCCAAGUAAAAUAUCCCAAAAACUUCAUAAAACAAAUUAAUUCAACACUUGUGAGCAAGAUGAAUUAAUAUGUUUUUGACACUGAUCUAUGCACCAUACCAGUUUCAUAGUGAUUUCCAACACCUGCGGGCAAGAUGGAAAUCCUCACAACUGAGGUAGUGCAUAAACCAUGUCAUGCCAUUUAAUAUGCAAUUUGAUAACAACUUGCUAUCUAAUAUAUAUUUCAUCAGAUAAUUGACUAGCACACGAAAAAUGUGAUUUAAUGAAUCUAACUGGAGAUUAAAAUGAAUACAUGGAUUCUAUACGUACCUUAUAGGUCAUCUGUAAAUGUAAGGCAUUACUAACACGAAACUCAAACUCCCACUGAUCUGCAACAUCAUCACUUAAUUUGCAAAUCAAUACUUUAAUCAUAUUUUUGAAAAUAUGCCUUUGGGAAUAGCCUUACUUAGUCAAUGAAUGCAUAUUACCUCAAUGAAAGGUACAAUUAAGCACGAAAGCAUUCAUCACUGUUACACAAAAACAUGCAUCCAACAACCAUCUUAUAUGUAUUAAUAAGUCCACAUUUAUCCUAAGUCCUUAUAAGCCUCAAAACGAAUGAUCAACCAAGAAAUCCAAAUGAUUUCAAGUAACAGAAAAAUGUACGCAUAUACUAAGUAGUCAUUCGUGCAACUUAAACAUAUUAUUAUUAUUCGAGUAACACAAAUUCAUGGAAGAUAGAAUAACGCUUUAAUAAAUUCAUGCAAAUCCGCUUAAUGCUCAAAAACUCCCACUAAGUUUUCAGAGUUUAUACUUGCAAAUAAGUUAAUGAGUGUGAAGCCCAAUUUUCGUUCACUAAUUCUCCCACUUGGGCAAACACUCAUUAAUAUAUUCUUUCAGAGAUGUACCUAAAGAAAAUUGCUCUAUAUUUUAGACAUAAUAAAAUAGACAUCUCAACCAACAUAAAGUUGGCAAACAGAAUUUCAGCAACGAGUUACACUUACUUUAGCAUUAAUCAUAAUUAAUUUAUAAGCUUGAUUGCUACCAAAUUUAUACUGAUCAAAAUAGACAUACUAAUAUUCAUAAAAUAAAAAUAUAGAGACGUUUUGGAUCAAAAUAAUAGUCUAAAGUCACGUCUCAAAAAGACCAACACAAUCUGCCAAGAACUGUCUAUAAGAGCAUGGAUUACUAGUGAAUUCACCAUAAUUAAAAUACAUGGCAGAAAAUUACAAAACUUUUCAGACACAUAGUAGACAUCUAUAUGUUGAACAUAUCCAAAAUUCAGAUCAUUUGGUGACCAUUAGACGUGUCAUUCACCCGAUUUAAACCAAGACACGCAAUCUGCCAGAAACAAUUAUGUGCAUCUAUCAUGAAUUUAUGCAUCCAUAACAAAUUCAAUUUCAUAUCAUUUCAAUUUCGAUGUCCAAAGGAAACUUUAGUAGUCAAAUUUCAUCUUCUAAACCGACAUCAUAAUUCAAAUUGAAAAGAUUUACAAGCAUAAGACUUAAACAAUGCGUACCUUAGCAAUCCUUGAUUAACCUUCAUGGGUCCAAUACUUUGCAUCAACAAGUCUCAUGAAGAGAAACAAAAUAUGUCAUGAUGCAACCGAUUUCCAUGCCUUCAACCCACAACCUUUUAUGGGGCUCAUUGUGGAAAUAUUUGUCACCAAUGGCAUGGAACUUUAUCCCAAUAAACUUCACGAAACUAAAUUAAUUUACACCUGUAGGCAAGAAAAUUAACUAGUUUCUAGUACUAGAUUUUAUGUCACAAAAGUACCUUCAUGAAAAACUUCAACACAUGUAGGCAAGAUGAAGAUUUUCACAACUUCGGUGAAAUAAAACUCAUACUAUGCCAUCUGAAUUAAACUAAAAGAAGUAAUCCACACUUGUAGGCAAGAAGAUUAUCCCUUUUGUUCUAAUUAAGAUGCAAAGAUGACCGAAGUAACUAAAAAACGUAGUCCCAUCGUCAACUAAACCGUUGCAUCUUGCUUAGUUGAAAAGGCAUUGGUCAACUCCGUCCUAAAAUAAUACAAGAAGUCACAUGGAUUAAUUAAUUGUAAGUGACAAAAAUAGGAUAACAUGAUUCGAGCUUCGAGUCUUGCCAACAAAUGACACUAAUUCCUUCAUGACUCCCUUUGAUAUUAAAUUAAUCCCAGAAACCUGACAGCAUACUUGAAGGAGAUUAAUCACAUAUAGAACAAGUUUUCACCACAAGAAUGUCAAUACUUAUCAUUACAGAGUCAAUUAGAAAUACUUUAUGUAAUGUGAGAGAACAAUACAUUCCUUUAAUUUAAAAGCUAAGUCACUCAAAUGUUUGCUUAAGUCAAAACAGGUUCCUUUUCUUUUGUACCUUUCUUUCCGUAGUACAAGGCUCCUAAAACAUUAGCAUCAAAAUCGUGCAUUAGCCUUGUAAAUACCAAAUUAAAUAAAAGGAACCAAAAUUAUUUUCUUCCAUAGAAAACAUUUCCAAUAUAUGCCCUACAUUAGCCUUGAAAAGUUUCUUUUCUUCUCCCCUUAUGGCAUAUAAAAAUUACUAAUCAAAGCACUGUUUAAAUUCUUUAGGCAUAGGAAAAACCACAAACAAUAAUACAUGUUUGAAAAUUCAUGCUUGUCAAUUAAGCCACAUACUUUGAAUGGAUUACAUACCUCAUGUCUUCAUAUGUUCACCACUUCUUUGUAAACAUAUAUAUAAUCACAUGACCAACCAAAAUUCUCAUAUAAGCAUAAAAAUACAAAUGAGAACUGUCACAUAACUACUACAAACCUUAUUCAUUUGUAUAAUACCCUUGUUCUUGUCACUGGAUGCUUUCUGUCAUUCUCAGUCAAUCCACAAAUUAUACAUCAAUUUUCAUAGUUAACUAGUCAUGUAUAAUUUAAAUGACUAUUGAGAUAAGAAAGCAAAUUGUAGACAAACCUGAUUGAUUAGUCAUGCAUAUUUCUUGUGCUAUUAAUGGCAUAAAAGUUCAUUCUCAUCUUGUGAAAAUUAGUGGAAACAAAACUACAAUUCACUAUAGUCCAAAACCCAUGACAAUAUUGAAAAUAUGUAAUCUCAUGCUCGAACCAAUUUAGCCAUACAAGCAACACUAUACACGCCAUUUGCUUAACAAAUGUUGCCAAAAUCUGUAUGACUUACUUUCAUGUAUAGGAAUUUUAUCAAAUUCAUUAACAUACAUGUAUAUAGUUGACACGUAUAAAACUUAGCGUAUGCUUCCCUGCAACACUAUUGUAAUAUAUGUUAUUACAAUCAUAGGCAUAACAUAUCCCAAUAGUAUUGAUAAAUUAUAGGAUAUGACUAAUUAUGUCUCCUACAAUCAGAAAGACGUCACGACAUGGUUGGAUUUUGCAGGAACAAUAUAACACUUCAUGAAUCCAACAUAACCAUUCCUUAUAUAAUUUAUCAUGAAGACCAAAAGGAAAGAUCAUACCAGAAUUUCAUAUACCGAUGUAAUACGAACCUCUUCAUUGGGCUUGUUCCACUGAGGAAUCUUAAGAAAUUCUCCAAUGCAAGGUUAGAACAAAUGUAAAUACAUAUACAUGCUAUGCGAACUGUAGAUACAUAAUUGGCUUUAGAAAAUUAUAUAUACUUGCUUGAUCCAACAAUUGCUGGCAUUUAUGCAAUUGUUUCUUGUCACAUUAACGUAUCACUCGUAGCAAUUCAUAUAGAAUACAAUUCAUGGAAAAUAAUAUUAGUUCUUAUUCAAUAAGCUUAUGCCCAUUUAGAUACGUAUUGCCAAAAUAUAUAAUAAUUGGAUCCAUAUUCAUGACAUACUUAACCGAUACAUGGUAAUCAAUGUAUGUACAUACUCUACAAUAAUUAGCACAUCACUCAUGCAAUUAUAUCUUUAUCUUAUUACCAAUUUAAGCUUUGAGGGAUCAACCCAAAUAUAUAUCAACCAAAAUACCAUAAACCAUUAUGGAAAUCAAAGUCAAUGAAACAAACCAUUUUGCUUUGGUAGAAGACUUUGCUCUGCUUGCUAAUCGGAGGGACCUCUUCAGUAAGGUCAGAACAAAUAUAGCAUGCUUACAAAAAUUGAGAUCAUCAGUGGCACAUGGUAAAUCAAUUCAACCAAAACACUAGCAUGAAGAUUGAAAAAGAACAAAACUGUUAUUCUUCUUAGUGCCAUGGUUUCCACUGUAAAAUACAUAAUAUAAUACCACGCCUUACAUAUAUGCUUCUUUACGUUCCUAUUUGAUUAUAGGAUUCCAAUUCCUAUAUGGUUUUUAAAUUUCAUGCUUCAAUACUAUAAGAAUAUUAUAUAAAUUCUAUGCUUCAAUUCCAUAAUUUAAUUCAUGCUUGAUCAAAAGCACCUCUAAGCGUAGUUCAAUUUCCAAUUGGCAAGCAAAACUAUGUGGUUAUAUAUAAUACACCGCAUACAAUAUUAUGGGUUCGUGCUAUAAUCAGGCAACUUGUCUUGCUGAUAAUAAUCAAGGUAUCAAUUAGCAUAGUUCUUAAUAAAUUUCCCUUGACUGCAACCAUAAUAUUAGUGAAAAAUAUUCUUGAUUAAAACUGAAUAAUUAUGUAACCUGAUCAUAAUUAACAAUUGAACUUAUUCAAAUCGCAUGGUGAUGUUGCCGAGUAUAUGCAAUGAGAAUUUGGAUUAAACACGCAGUUCAAGAGAAUAUUAUAUAAUCCAACAUUAAACCUAAUAGGUUUUAAUUAUAUAAUCAGUGGCUCUGAUACCAACUGUUAGUCUUAUAAGGUUAUACAAUUAAAACACAAUAUGAAAGAGUGAUUGACCUGAUUCUAACGGUGGUCAUGGAUAUCAAACACGAAAGCAAACAGAGCACGGCAACACCAAGAUCUUCUAUAAACUUCUAGCCGAAUACAACUACUCUAUGAGAAGCAUUAUGUUGUGUUCUAGGGCUUAUGGGGACCGGUGUUUUAUAUAGGCUAAAAGCUAGGGUUUCCAUCCAUAAAGGAAACCUAAACUUUACUUCUUAGCCUCCAAGUCAAGUAUCAUAAUCAUAUUCAAUUAAGGAUUCUAUCAAUCCUAUUUCCAAUAUAAGACACCUUAUAUAGGAUUAAUAUCUUUAAGAGAUCAAAUCACAAUCAACAUUAUUCUCAAAUAUUACAUUCCUAUUACAUGUAGUAGACCACUUAAAGGUCGAUUUAUAUUGGAUAAAUCCAACAACAUCAAUAUUUUAUAUUAUUUUUUUAUAGAGAUAAUAUGACAAAAAGAAAUAGUAAUAUAAAAAGUUGACAUGGCUUAACCGUGAUCACACAAACAGGAUGGCACGAAAAAUGAGAGAACAGAGAAUCUGCCUCCAAUGGAGAAAAGGGUUCAGUUUGCUAGAACAGGGAAGACUUUGGUUGUGGAUUGAUUAUCCAAUCUAAGGGCAUCUAGUCUUUUUAUGAGUGAACACAAGAAAAAAAUAAAAUUACAAAAAUGAACUCCUAUGAAGCUCCAGGGAGAUUAAUCCUACCGAUUGGGGUCGGCCCUUCCCUACUACAAAUCCUGCUUGCUUCUUUUCAUUUUUGCCUAAAACCUUGACUUCACCAUAAGCGUCUGUACCGUAUUUACAAAGUCCUGAACAGCAUUAAAACUAGGAAGUUUUAACGAAACACUUCCGAUACUAUUCACUUUUAACGAAAAACCACAUUUUUACCUUUUCCUGAUACUAUUUACUACACAUUUAUUUGUCAUUUUUCAUUAAAACUAAAAAAAAUUUGGACUGUUUGUUAGUUUUUCUUUAAAACUAACGGUAUGCCGCAAAAAGCUCACCUGCCAUGCCGAAACAACGCCAAUACAAGCAGUCGUAAGCAAUUGUAUUCCGACAUAUACCUAAAAAGUAAAAACCCUGUAAUAUAAGGACAUAGAAUCUACAAUUGACCAUCUACGCCUGCUGUUUCUACCCAGACGACAUCCAUUUUUUUGGCCUUACCCAAUGCAAUUCAAGUAUAGAGUCUCUGGCAUUGAUGCCUAUUUUGUAAAAGCAUGGCAAAUCCUUGCAUCUGCAUCAUAUCCCAUUGUAGAAAAAGUUGCACGCCUCUCUGCGUUUGGGGACAAUUUGGUUGUUUUUCAAUCUCACAUGUGAGACUAACAAGGGCCAUAAACAUAGCACAACAGUGAUGGUAUAUCCACCAUGCAUGGACGAAUAUCACUUCCACUUAUUCUCAGUAUGUAUUCUCGCAGUGCCAAACCAGUGUAGAGGAAUAACAUUGUAAGCCUGAAGUGGAAACGUUGGCAAACAUCCAUCCCAAAUCGAAGAUCUUAGUAUACGUAGUGUUGCUGGGAAAAGAAGGAAUAGCAGCGCAGUUCAUCUCUGUAAGCGUUGUAUUCCUCUUUAACCUUGAGUUGGAUAUCUUUGAUAGAGGAACGCACGUUUAUGGGACCGAGAAAGAACCUCACAAAACUCCCUCCCUGAGAUUUCCCAGGAAGAAACGAAGCAGCAACUCAAGAUAGAGUAAUGAUAGGGUGACUGAAUUUCUAGAUUAAAUUUUAGAAACUAAAGGACAUGGAAAUUGAUGAUUGGUUUAUUACUUAGGCGUUGAUUAAUGUGCUCAAUCUUAUUGGUAACACAUCAUUUAGUUUGCAAAUGUAAUCUAAAAAUUUAAUCUCUCUAACAUUACCUAUUAUUAGAUAUGAGAUUUUUUUUUCCUUCUUUAUUGUUAAUCUAAUAGGGACCAUACUCAACUAGCAAGCAGUGCGAAACACGCAUGCAUGCAUGCAAGGGACCAGAAACGUUCAAGUAUUUCAAUGCAUGUUAUAUAUAAUUAGAUAAAGUCUUUCAACAAUAUUUUGGAACGUAGCCAUUGAUUCUCUUCUGGCCGCCCAAAUAUUUGCUAGAAUAUGUUAAAACACUCAACACCCUGUUAUCUUAACUCGCAAAGAAUGGUAUGUGGCCGUGAUGAAUGCUUUCUUAAUCAAAUCACCUUACGAAAAAUUAAUAGUUUUAACCUUUCCAGUUCAGUUUAGAAGUUUUAGAAUUGAUUGAAAGAAAAAAAAAUUUAGAAUUGAAUUACGCGUAAUAUUUUCCAAAUUUUAAACUGCAACUUGAAUAUUGAAUGCUUCUUGGAGGAAACAUUUUAAGUAUUUUUUCAAGAUUUACUUGCAUUUUCACUAAGGAUUGGUUUGAAAAAAAACUUUCAUCAAAAUCAUUUUCAGUCAUUUUAGAAACACUUUCAGAUAAUUCACGUGUUCUUACUGAUAAGUAGAUGUGUAAAUUCUAAUUAUUCUUUCCUAUAUGGACUUGUAUUGGGAAAGAAGGAUUUCCUCUCCCUCUUAUUACUAUAAAUAAAUAAAGUCACUACAUAUGAGGGAAUAAGACAUAAUCCCCACGAUUCUACAAAUACAUCUCUCUCUACAAUCUCUCCUUGAUGUCGUCCCUCUUUCCUUAGUCAAAUAAAAUAGGCUACAACAUAUUUUUAUUUCUGAAAACUCUAUAGGCUUAUUAAUUCCGCAGUUUUGCACUGGCGUUUAAAGCCCAAAAACAUUAACUAGCAAAGCCCAAAUAAAAUACCCUGGCCCAACGGAACCGGACUAUAUUGGAAGUGAAUUUGUUUGGUUUCUCUAACCAUUUCUGCUGAGAAUCGAACCAAACCCAUGAGGGACUCCGACUCGGUUUGCGACUCUGGCCCAACGGAACCGGACUAUAUUGGAAGUGAAUUUGUUAGGUUUCUCUAACCGUUUCUGCUGAGAAUCAGAAUCGAACCAAACCCAUGAGGGACUCCGACUCGGUAUGCGACUUUUGGGUGAACUGAGUCGAACCGCAUCGUACCCACCCCGUAACGCGUAAGCAACACACAUCGACUUGGCUUCCAAACUAAAUCUUCCAUUGUUUACUGGUAAAAUAGAUUGAUCCCAAGGUAAUCAUUAAACAUUAACCUAAACCGUAUCCAUUCAGGCAAAAUAGAUUGAUACAUCUUUUAAGCUGCCAUCCAAACUUUGCAAUGCAACAGAAACAGCGGACAUUUUCGUGCGAACCAACGCUUCAAUCGCCAUGUUGAAACUGCAUUUUGAACAAGCACCCAAAACAAAUUGAACCAAAAUUCUAGGAUACUCGAGGUGCUCUAAUCGUUAAAUCUUUAAUUCCAAUGAAGGGGAAAUCAAAGGGGUUUUUUGUACCCUCAAUCUGUGGAUUCUGUACAAAUAAAUGAACAAAAACUGCAUGCAGCAUAAUCCCUCCCAAGAUACACUAAGAACAGUUCAAACGAAGUUCAAUAUUCAUAGCAAGUGAAGAGCAAAACAGAGAUGGAAUGGCGUUCGUGAUCAUCGCAAUGCAGUUUUGACAAAACACGAACACAAUUGGAGAAUCAUACACCUAGAGUUUGAUAGUAUUCGAUGACUAAAAACCCUCUAUUCGAAGGUUGAUUUCUUCUUCGAAAGAACGAGCUCUGAAUCUCUGAAAGAGAAGUAACCCCAAGGAUUAUAUGAUUGGGCAUUUCAUCAAACAAGCUUCGCAAUUGAAAACCCCACAAGAUAUGUAUAAGCACCAAGAAUUAUAUGAACCACAAUCGUAUUUCAUUUCCUACCAAGAUAAAGAUCGAGUUCCAAAUCAACGUAAAUUCGAAAAAAAAAAUUGAAAGUAAAAUACACAUUUACUAAUUAAAACCCUAACCCUAGACCCAUACGACUUGAUUUCAAGUACCAGACAUUGAAACCCACAAACCCUAACCCUUCAAGAGCUGGUGAACUUAGUCACGGCCUUGGUCCCUUCCGAAACAGCGUGCUUGGCGAGCUCACCAGGGAGCACGAGCCUCACGGCGGUCUGGAUUUCCCGGGAAGUGAUCGUCGGUUUCUUGUUGUACCUCGCGAGCCUGGACGACUCCUGGGCGAGCUUCUCGAAGAUGUCGUUGAUGAAGCUGUUCAUGAUUCCCAUGGCCUUGCUGGAGAUCCCGAUGUCAGGGUGGACCUGCUUCAGCACCUUGAAGAUGUAGAUCUUGUAGGUCUCCACGCUCUUCUUCGAUCUCUUCUUCUUCUUGUCUCCGGCGGCCGCUCCGGCCUCCUUCGGGAGCUUCUUUCCGGCCUUGGGCUUUUUCUCGGCGGGGGCUUUCUCCGCCACGGCGGACUUCUUCUCCUCUGCUGGCUUCUUCUCGGCGGGCCUUCUCGGCUUUGGGCGCCAUUGUUAGAGUUGGGUGAGAGAAAAGUUGGGGGAUUUGGGGAUUUUUCGAUUUGGAUUGAAAGACUCGGAGAGUAGGAUGUUUCGUGAUGGACUUAAAGAUGAGGAGAAUGUGUUUUUAUAUAAUGGGGAGCGGUUGGAUUCCAUUGGCUAAAUUGGUUUGACGAGGAUCGCUGUCUGGGAUGUGGUUUUGGCCGUGGAUUGGGUUUGGGAAAGUUCAAACAUUGACGGUUGCGAUGUGUUAAGCUGGUUCAAGCGGAUUGGUGCCCUGAUCGGUUAGUUUAAGUGGAAUUGGACGGUGGAUAGUUUUUGUAUGAAACUGAGAACGGACGGUUGAGAUGAGGGACUGAUCGAUGACAUCAUCUGGGUGUAGUUCUUUUUACGAAGGAUAUGCAAAUUAGAAAUAUCAGAUAGUAAAACUUGGGUGAACUUGAUACAAUAUUUUACAACAAAAGAUAAUAAAAGAAUUGAUUCUUACCAAUUGUGAACAUGGUUUAUAUCCCCAAGUAGAUUGGAAACCUUAAAACCAUUGUAGAAGAGAAAUGCGUACAAAAUUUUCUUAAAGUUGAACUUUUUUAUGAAUUAUGCCCUUCAUGUUUUUUGUACAAUAUUUUAUAAUAUUGGCGAUACGAAAAUUGAUUUUAUAGUAUGAGAUGACAGAGAUUCCAUGAAAAUGCCCACUUUAAAAGAAUAUUCUUAACAUUUCUCGAUUCUGAAAGAUUGUAUUAAGAUUAAAGCACUUCCACCGUGCUUAAUUGCCCUAUGGAUAGGCUCCAAAUCCAUCGCAAUCCACCCCCUCUCCCCCCCCCCCAAAACUCCUUUAGCCCACCUUCGGCAACUAAGCAAAGAGGAGCCAACCAAGAGGUCAGGCAAAAAUCCAAGGCCCAAGGGCCUGGAUAGAUGUGACGUCAGACAUGUUCUAAAAAAAUUUGCGUCAAGCGUGUGGGCAACACACGCAAGUGGGCGCAUCUCCGACAUAUUUUCAAACGGAGGGCCCCACAUGUCAACCCCACUCAAUUACCAUUGAAUCUGGACCAUUUGAUUUCUAAAUUGUCCACGUUUUUUGGCUUAAAAAAUUAGAAAUGUAACGGUGGGCCACGUGUCACAAUCUGGACUAUUAGAUUUCAAUUUUUUGGUAAUCCAACGGUCUAGAUUAAUUAAGUUAAUAAAAAUUUGAAAAAUAAUUAAAAAUCUGAAAAAAUAUCAAUAAUUUUUAUAAUUUAUAAUUUUUUUUUUAUAAAUACCUUGCCAUUUUCUCCCACUUUACACCAUAUUUCAAUAUUUCAACGAUUCUAGACAAGUAAGGACACAUCGCAAAACGGAAUUGAUUAAAAAUCUUAUCGAAAUCUAUCUAUAAAAAAUGUACUUUCGGAUAAUAACACGUAGCUUAACGAGAUCGGUUAAAACUCCUAUCAGAAAUUAAAAAUAAAAUUAUUUUUUAUUAUUUUAUAAAAUAAAAAAUACUAAUAUUUUAAUACAAAUUGUUUAAGCUAUUCAGUAUUGUGGUGGAGAUGCAAUAAAUAAUUAUUGUUCAUUAAAGUUGUUACUAUUCACUAAGAGAUUGAAUUGCCUAUGGCCAAGGAGGCCCUUUACAAUUGCUUUUAGGAAGCUUCCAAAGAAUAUUUAACCUUAAAAGAUGCUUUCUGUACUGUACUGAGUGAGUGUAUAUGGUUGCUCAAAUCUGAAUGAGAUUCCAGCAGAGUUGGGGAAGAUGGAAUCUCUAAUAGGGCUUAAUUUUGCUGAAAUUCCAAUAUCUCAAAUACUCAUGAACACCGCUGGGAUGGUCGAAUCAUUCAUGAGGAGAAAUCCAGAAAAUAUUUGGGUCUUUCGGAUGAUGCUUUUCCGAAAGAUUUUGCUAGGCCAAUAAGAUCGACAAGCAUCCCGUCCAGGUCUCUCUCUCUCUCUCACACACUUACAUUUCUUCCUGGGAACGUGCUGCCUUGUCAGUUCAGCCAUAAAAGUAAAGGCCCUUCAUAUCUUGUACUGUGCCAUCACUUCAGGUCUCCGGAUUGGAGGCUUGAACGUACUCUCUCUGUAUAUACAAACAUUGCUCAUUACGAAUGUACUACUAACAACGAUAGUAAAGAUGUUGGGGUUUGCAGCCCAUUGAAUCCAAUAAUGGCUGGCGUUGUUAAUAAGUGAACAAAUCUGAAGUGGAUCUAUGAACCAUCAUGCCUCUGCUUUCCAGAUAGGGGAGAAGCAUGGUAUGCUUCAGCCACUGGAGUUUGGGGAAUCAAUUGAGAGAUGGCAACGAAGUGAAAGUUCCCGAUUUCUGAGAUCCUGGUUCCGGGUAAAGGAGGGGCAUUCAGCUAAUUGUGCACGAGGAAGAAAAUAAUAUGUGCAGUACCCAACGAGAAACAACUGAUCCUUGUUUUUCCGAUCAUUUUUGGACAUUUGGCGUGAUAGGAGUUGAUGCCAAGAACAUACUUCGUCUCCCAUGGACAAAAGGAGAAAGAAAACGUUCAGGGAUUGCAUCAUUCGGUUUUGUUCAAUGACAUAUUGGGGAACUCUACUCAAGAGAAAGAAAGAGAUGUUGGAAACUAAUGUGUUUGUAGUACGUAUUAAUUUCCAUGCAACUGUCAAUGCAGGAAGUUCAUUGUAUAACAAGUAUCCCAGAUUACAUUUAUUCAACUAUGUGCGGGACUUGGAGUAGUCAUGUUUUGGUUGAAAAUGCAAUCAGCUAUUUCAGAUUUUGUCUCUGCAGCAGCAAUGGCAGGUACGAACAUCAAUUUCAAUCUGCUAGUUUGGUUGGUUCGUGUUUUACGAUCCAAAUCUAUAGAAAACUUGCAAAGCCAAUGACAUAUUGGUGGCAAGGAUGAGGAUUACUAGUGUCUUAUUUCAGAUCAUUGCCUCUGAGUACGCGUCUUGCAAAAUUUAGGGCACCAGCGAAACUGAAACCGAGUUUGAGCCAACCGAUCGAAUCAAUGUGUAGACUGAAAUUUUAACUCCCCGUCCAAAACUAACUGAUUUGAUUAUAAGUUCAUUCCAUACCGACCGAACCAGACCGGAAUAGGGUUAUUAUAUACAUUCUAAUAUGAAAGGGGGUCAUUCGAAUUCGAGCGUAUCUAAAUAGGUGAAAUUACAAAAUUAAACACUGAGUUGCCGCCCAAAUUAAUUGGUGGCGCCAUUGAAAUAGCGUCUAAAAUCCCUAUUUUCCUUUGAUAUUCUACACAUCUGCAUAAUUCUCAUUUCUUUAUUUAGGCAAUGAAAACUUGAGCACAAGAAACAAUAAUCGAUAGACUGCUAAUGAUAUUGAAAUCGGAUUCAUGACAACAAAAGAUUUUGCCGAAAACCAGGUAAAUUUUUCAAACGCCAUAAGGACAAAAUCAAAUCGGGCUAAAGGGGUCUAACCACAUCAAUGUAAAACUCAAGCAAAUGCAAAUAUUCAACAAAUUUAUGUUACUCAAAUCCUGAUUUUCAAUUUAAAACAUUAAAGUAAGGAAGUGGGCUGUUCAUUUCGAAUUCAAGAGAUUACAGAAUCCAAAUUCAUCAAUCCAUGCCACCACAAAUUUCAGAUCAUUGUAUUUCAUCCAAUAGAUAAGAUAUUACAUAUCUACUAACCAGAAACCCUACACACUAACACAUAAAGAUCCACUCUUCCAAGCCCUAAAAGACGCAGACGACGAACAGAACAGAACCCACCACACUU